Non-coding RNA from Monodelphis domestica (gray short-tailed opossum), 74176 nucleotides. The record is from RefSeq and is a predicted model, not a curated record. Lineage: Eukaryota; Metazoa; Chordata; Mammalia; Didelphimorphia; Didelphidae.
CUCACCAUAUCCACUUCACACUCCAGUUUGGAUUCAUUUCUUACCUGUCACUGUAAGCUGCUGCUGCUGCUGCUGGCUGAGCAUAUCUGUAGGCUGCAUAGCCACCCUGCAGGGACAAGGAAGAGAGAAGAGAAAAGUGGAUUACUAGUUCAUAUAUGAGUCAGCAGUGGCAGCUAAAACUACAUAAUGUCAUCUUGGGCUACUUUGAGAGAAGCAUAGUUUCCAGGAACAGGGAGAUUGCCUUUGGAGUACUCAGGUGGCAUGGAGGAUGGAGUGCCAUUAUCCCAUGGCAACUAGACUUUGAAAAACCUAAGAGUUUCUAAUAUGCUGAGUAAUCAGUGAUGGUGCCCCAAAGAACGUAAAUAGCAAAUGUGGGUAUGUACACUUGCCUUCUUAGAUGACACAGUCUCUACUGUGCUCCACCACCUGCUCUUUCCUCCAUGGCUGCCAUUCUGUUGGGGCUGCUUGCCACAACACACCUCGCCUCAGUGCUCAGACAAGUACCAUACCUCUCCUUCGAUCCAGCCUCUCUCUCAUGCUAAUGACUGUCAACAUGAAACAGAAGCUGUGAAGGAGAAGAAAAUUACUCCCUGAAAAGGAAUUGACUGGUCCCCAUCAUUUCUCAAGGAAUCACUGACCUGUGAAUAUUUCAUUACCCAAAAUGUGGUGCCAUCCAUACAAAGCAGGAGCCACUGAGGCCAUUGGGAGUAGUGGUGAUAAAGUUCCAAGACUUAGGGGAAUACAAAUAUUUGUCUAUCUUACUCUUAUUAUUCUUAUAUUCUCCCCAAAUCUUUCCAGCCCCCCUCUUUCUCCUCUCCCUAAGUCUUGGAACUUUUUCUCCAUCUAGGAAAGAGAACCCUAUUAAAUAUUUGGGGAAGGAUGGGGAGGGAAAUAGAAGAAGGGUAGAGGUAAUUCAGAUAGAGGCAGCUAAAUGGCUCAUUCAGUGGGUUAAGAACCAGGUCUGUAAACAGAAAAACCUGGGUUCAAAUUUGGCCUCAGGCACUUCCUAGCUGUGUGACCCUAGGCAAGUCAAUUAACCCCAACUGCCUAGCCCUUACUGCUUUUCUGCCAUGGAAUUAGUACUUAUUAGCAAUUUUUAGAUAGAAGGUAAGGGUUUAAAGAAAAAAAGGAUCAUCAAGACUGACUUCCAUUUGCAGAUACUUUUGGAGAAGCAGCUCCAAUAUGUGGUGAUUAAAGCACUUGUCCUAGAAUCUAGGAUAAAACUUUACUAGCAGUGUGAUCAUAGGCCAGUCAUUUUCCAUAUCUGGAUCUUUGUUUCCUCUUCUGGAACUUGUAUUACUUAUGUCAAUAAAUGACCAUGAUAGUAUGCUGUAAAUCUUAAAAUUCUACAUAAAUAUAAUGAUUUAGUUUCAUUAACUUUUUAGGUGAAAUUUGUUGGGAUUAUGGUAUACUUUUCCCAGAUAUGAACUCAGACUACUGUCCUGGACUUAAUCCAAGUGACUAUGAAGUUUUUACAGGAAUAAUAACCCACCCGAUCUCCAAGUCAAUAGGAUGAGAGACUUCUCUUUGGACAUCACUUGACUCCAUGAGUCUCCAAAGGUGGAGGAAGCUUUCUAAUUUGUGAUUUGAUAACCAAAUCAUGGGGCAGGUAGGUGGCACAGUAGAUAGAAUUCUGGGAUUGAAGUCAGGAAGAUGAGUCUUCCUGAGUUCAAAUCUGGCUUGAGAUACUUCCUAGCUCUGUGAUCCUAGGCAAGUCACAUAAUCCUGUUUGUCUCAGUUUCCUCAUCUGUACAAUGAGCUGGAGAAGGAAAUGGCAAUCUAUCUACUUAAGUGUAUCUCUACAAAAACAAAACAAAACAAAAAACUUAAACGAGGUUACAAAGAGUCAGACCAGACUGACAAUGCCUGUAUAAAAACAAUAGCUACCAAAAAAACCCCCAAACAUUUCAGGACUGACAGGAAGGGUAAAAUCUCCUUGGUUUAGGAGACAAAUCUGGCUUAGGAGACCUGCAGGACCAGCUAAAGGAAGAAAAUGGAAUGGCAAAGUGAUGAAUAGGAAUAAACUCAUCACUAACUUGAUCUCCAGGAAGCAACAGGAUAUAUACUCUACUCCAGGGAUCCUUUAUCCGAGUUCUCUAACACUCUCCAAAACUAUUCUUAGUUUGUCUCCAGGAAAGUGGGUAGAAUUCUCAAAACAAAUUGGGUUUAAUUCAGUUAAUUCAAAAUAGGGUUAGGUAUUAAAUAACCAUAGAGAAGAUUCUGAGGAAUAAUAAUAACUCCCCUUUAUUGACUUUUUAAGGUUUAAAAAGCAAACUCUCAUAAAAACAAUUCUAUGGGAAGUUAUAUAUGAAUUUUCAUUCCCCAAACUGAAGUUGUGCUCUAGCUGUAACAGUCAAAAAUAAGGUAAAGUGAGGCACAAAAGUUCCAAGAACAAUCAGUUUAUUUGUAAAAUGUGAAUCUACCAAUAAAUGGGAUAUCAGCUUCCUUAGUAAGUUAAGACCUUGAAUGAGGGGGAUCAUUUUCUUUCCUAAGGUUUUGGGAGUACAGAACAAAGAACAGAACAGAGUAGAAAACAUUAUGUCAUAACCGAAGCCCAUGGAAUAACAUGAUUGGUUGGAAGCUUUAUGAUGGGGGAUGGCAAAAAUCUCUUCCUUCUUUCUCUGUGACUAAGAAGGGUUCAUUGUUUGUAUCUACCUGUAAGGUCACUGAUAAUUGCUCAGACAUUUUGGACAGCUAGCCAGAUAUCAUUGAAGGAUAGCUUAGUGGUUUAAAGGCUCAACUCCCUUAUUCACAUGCAUUCUCCAAAGUCGGUUAAAUCUUUGGGAGCAAGAAUAGAUCAGUGAUUAGCAGGAGAGUAGGACUUCUGGACAUAACUCUUUAUGGAUCAGCUGAUUCUGAACUAAGUUCAGAGACAGAGAACCAUGACUUAAGCAAUUAUAGGACAAAAGCAGUUACAGGAUAAAAUAAAUUAAAUGCAAGUACGAUCAAGAAGAAAAUGCUACAAAAUUAAUAUUGAUCAUUUCAAAGCUAUAAUAAUCAGGAGAGUAGAGAGUUUAACUCAGGUCACCUGGUUCUGUAUUCUGUGCUCUUUUUACCAGGCUAUGUUGUCUCCCUGAAGAAAUUGUAUGUAUUUGUGUCCUACCAAAAAUGUAUAAUUGAGGAGCUGACCAACAAGGGUCCAAUCCUUAACGCCUGCAGAAUAUUCACUGUUUGCCAAAAUUUUCCAUGUGGAAGCUUUGGAGUUAUUAGAUGUUCAGCAAAUGGUAUUCACAGCUGCAGCAGCUAAACCCAGUGAGAAGUCAGCCCAGAGGGAUAAGCAGCUUUACCCAACACAACAUCCAAGAUACCAAGAUUGUAACAUUUUGCAAAGAAGGGAGUAACAUCCAUUUGCUAUGUCACCCUCAAAACUAAACAUGGUUGUGGUAGAGGGGAUGUUUAAUUGUCACCAUUAUAUAUGUGAAUCUUCUCCCUUCAGGGAUAGAAGUGGUAGAGGGGAGUAUAUUCUCAGUUUGGAAAGUUGUUGUGGUAAGCCUGUUUGGGGGCAAACAUAAUGGAAAGACCCUUCUCCUACUCAGCGUCAGAGCAUAUAUAGAUAUUCCAUGACUACUUCCUAUUAAUUUAUCCUAUGGUGAUGCUAAAUCUUUUCAUUGACUACUGAAAUGAAACCAAAUAUGCCUACCAGAAGCUCAUAUGAACAGAAGUCUCCCUCAACUUUUGGACUAAGGGCAAUGAAGAAAGGCUGUGAUCCUCCCUGCAUGUAGGAGGAGAAGAAGUAGCAAUGCUCCCUGUUGUCUCCUCCUCAUACCCAAGCACCAUGUAGCCUUGAACUCAUAGUGUCACUUCUCUUUCUUUAGACUGGGUUUAUUUUUAAGUGAAUGGGUAAUGGGAAUAGACCAGGUUAGAGACUUAGGAGCUUUGAAAAGUCAGAAGAACCACUAGAGAUCCCACAUUUGGAGUUCAUAGCCAUGAGUUUACCCUGAGUCAAAAUGAGUCAGGAAAGCCUGGUAAGAAGUUAGCCCCCAAAUGAUCUAUUUGACCUAGGCCAGUUUUUGUUUUAUUUUUGAAAAUUUUAUUUAAUUAGUCAAUUUAGAAUAUUUUUCCUUGGUUACAAGUCAUGUUCUUUCCCUCCCCUCCCCUACCCUCCCCCUCUCCCAUAGCCAAAGAGCAAUUCCACUGGGUUUUACAUAUGUCCUUGAUCAAAACCUAUUUCCAUAUUGUGGAUGUUUGCAUUAGGGUGAUCAUUUAGAGUCUAUAUACCCAAUCAUAUCCCCAUCGACCCAUGUGAUCAAGCAGUUGUUUUUCUUCUGUGUUUCUGUUCCCACAGUUCUUUCUUUGGAUGUGGAUAGUGUUCUUUCUCAUAAAUCCCUCCAAAUUGUUCUGGAUCAUUUCAUUGCUACUAGUAGAGAAGUUGAUUUGAUUGUACCACAGUGUAUCAAUCUCUCUGUAUAAUGUUCUCCUAUUUCUGCUCCUUUCACUCUGCAUCAAUUACUGGAGGCCAUCCCAGUUCACAUGGAAUUCCUCCAGUUCGUUAUUCCUUUGAGCACAAUAGUAUUCCAUCACCAACAUAUACCACAAUUUGUUCAGUCAUUCCCCAAUCGGAGGGCAUCCCCUCAUUUUCCAAUUUUUUGCCAUCACAAAGAGCACAGCUAUGAAUAUUCUUGUACAAGCCUUUUUCCUUAUUAUCUCUUUGGCUAGCCCAGUUUUUUGAACUUAGAAAAAAACCACAUUUCAUUCAUGUUUUAGUUCUUCCAAAAUUGAAAAUAUCAAAUCCUACUAAGGAAAAAAAUAAAUAAAUUACUCUCUUUCUCUUAAAGUCAUAGGACACAGAAAGAUCCAGGAUGGGCGAGUGCAGAGAAGUAGGAGAGGAGAUGAUAAGCAAAAACCCCUCCCAAAUACUUAACAACAAAAAACCCUGUUCAACAGAAAUUUUGAUAAAUACAGUUCAAUGCAAGACAAGUAAAAAUGAAGGACAGUGACCAGUGGCUGUGAAUUGACUCAACAUCCAAGAUAACAGUCUGCAAACAAGGGAGUGAUACCUAUCAAAUAUACUACCCUCAAACUAAAAUUGGUGGUAGAUGUUUAGCAGUCACCAUUCUGUGUGAAUCUAUUCUCCUCAGGGGCAGAGAUGGUAGAGGGGAGUGUAUUCUCAAUUUGGUAGGUUGUUAAUAUACCUUCUCAGUAAAUAACUCUUUAUGGAAGAUAAUUGGUGUUAAUUUGCUAAAUGCUAUGGGGGCAGGAUUAACUGGUGAUUAAUGUUUGAGAAGAAAUAUUAGAUGGGGGCCUAUGAGUAUUAGAAAAAACCCCAGAUUCUCAUGGUUUCCUCUAGAAUCCUAAAAGGAAAAAGUAGUAUUGUUUCUCCAGUUACAUGACCUCCUAGUUUGAGUAUGUGGUUUUGUGAAUCCCAGAGGGUGUGGGCUAAAAAAUCCCAAAAGGUAUCACAAUUCAAACAAUUUUGGAAGCUUCUGCUUUAAGGUAAUACAGUCUCUAUAGUCUCUGAACUUUUUCUUAUCACACUCUUAUCAGUAAAAGUAUUUAAUUUUUAAAAAUGAAAAUAUUUAUAUAAUUAAAAAAUUGUAAUCACAUACCCUCAAUGUAAGUAUAUUUAUUUACAAAGCAUAGACGUGAUGUUGUUCACUUGUUUCAAUCAUGUUCAAUUUUUCCUGACCCCAUUUGGGAUUUUCUUAUCAAAGAUACUGGAGUUAUUUGUCAUUUUCUAUUCCAGUUCAUUUACAGAUGAGAAAAGUGAGGCCAAUAGAUUUUAAGUGAUUUGCCCAGUUUAUUAAGUGUCUGAGGUCAGAUCUGAACUCAGGAAGACUCAUCUUUCUGACUCCGAGUUUGGUGCUGUAUCUGCUAUCUAGCUGUCCCAUAUUGCUACAUGGAGUGCUCUAUUCAUGUAUAUUACAUGUACAUAAUUAAAAUUAUGUAAUUAUAAAAUAGAUUCAAAAGAAAUUUAAAUGGAUGAGCUAAAAUGAGGCUCAUAAUAUUUUAAUAAUAUAUUAUUUUAUUUGCCAAAAUAAAAUGUACUUAUGAAGAAAUGUUAUUAAUAAUAUUUUUCAGUGAGAGCAAUAUUAUUGAAUAUGCUUCAUUAUUUGAAAAAAUUCAUUAUGUAUGUCCUGGGGUUUCUUAUAAAUAGUAAUUAUUUGUUAGUAAUUAAUCAUUCAGUUAAUUUCAUCAAUGUAGCUAGCCAAGCAGGUGAAAUAUUUUUUUAUUUUUUUCUUAUUACUGAAAGAUACACAAUGAAACAAUCAAGUAAUAGGUCACGGCAGUCAGUGAACAUCCUAACUCUUCAGUAGGAGUUAUAUUUCUCUGUGUGUAUUCACCAUAUAUAAUGCCAAAACAAGCAAAAGUGGAUUGUCUCUAAUUUCAAUUCAUCAAAAUUUCAAUAUAAGUGAAUUCUGUUUUUUUUUCCUAUGGUUCUGCUUAAUGCUGAUAUCCUACCUUAAUUUCUUAAUCAUGUUUGGAAUAGUUUAGUUGUACUUUUGAAUAAGUAUGAAAAAUAGCAAGAAGGCUAGUUGUAAUGUAAGUAGGUUGGGGCUAUGUUUUGAAGACCUUUAAAUACCAAAUGGGAGUUAAUAUUUGGUACUAGAGGCAAUAGGGGGCCAUUAGAGUUUGUUGUGUAGGAAGGUAACAGAGUUGCACUUUUGGAAAACCAUUAUGGCAACUGAAUGAAGGAUGGAUUAGGAGUAAGAAGAGUCUUGACAUAAGGAGAUUCAGAGGAGAGGCUAUCUGAGUGGCUAUGCAAGAAAUGUUGAGGAGAUAUAAAGCUUUUUGGCAAUUGGCCACUAAAGGAUGGUAGUAUCCUUGGUAGAAAUAGAGAAGUUUGGAAGAGGGCUGAGUAUGAGAUAUUGGAUACAGAUUGCAAUUCAUCCAUGCCUAUUUUUCUGAUAUGACUGACUGUUCCAUGAAUGAAAAAUGGUGGAAGUAAGGCUAACCCUAAGCCCUGGAGACUAUCUUCCCAAGGAUACCUGGCAUAGGCAUGAAGUAAUUGGGAAGUAGGAGGGGCUGGGAGAGGGGAAGAAGGUGAAUAUAUCAGGGGUAGAAGAAAAUUCUCAGUGACACACGUGAAGCUGCUACUAUGGUUUCUGGGUUAAUUAACUGCCACAAGGGAUUUAUGCAUAGUAUAGAGGGAAAUGCAUUUGGGACCUUACCACAGUUUGGGAGAGUCUGGAUCAUGGGAAUGUUGAGUGAUAAUGAAUGAAGGAGAGAUAUGGUUGUGAAGACAAUUUAUCUUCACCUUCUCCCUGUUUACUAGCAGUUUCUCUACUGUCUACAAAUAUGCUCAUCUCUCCCAUCUUCAAAAAACCUUCCUUUGACCCACCCAUCAUUGCUAGUUAUCAUCCCUUAUGUCUUCUACCUUUCCUUUAGAGGCUGUCUACCAUCAAUGCCUCUGCUUCCUUUCUUCUUGCUCUCUUUUUAACUCUUUGCUAGUCUGGCUUUCAUCAUUCCAUUAAAACUGCUCUAUACAAAGUUACCAAUGACCCAAUUGCCCUAUCAAAUGGACUUUUCUCAACUUUAUCCUUCAUUAUCUCUGCAGCUUUUGAAACUGAUCAGUCUUCUUGAUGCUCUUUUCUCUCUAGGUUUUUGCUCUAUCCUGGUUCUCUUCCAAACCUAUCUGACUACUCCUCAGUUACCUUUACUGUAUCUUCAUCCAGGUCAAGCCCAUUAAACAUGGGUGUUCUAAAGGGCUCUAUCCUGAGAUUCUUAUCCCUCUAUACUGUUUUACUCACUGAUUUGAUGAAAUCUUAUGGAUUCAACUAUCAUUUUUUACACAGAUGAUUCUCACAUUUAUUUGUCUAGCCCUAACCUUUUUACUCAGGGCAGCUAGGUGAUACAAUGGAUGAUAGAUAGAGUGCUAGAUCUGGAGUCAGGAAGACUCAUCUUCCUGAUUUCAAAUAUAGCUUUAAACACUUAAUUGCUGUGUGACCCUGAGCAAGUCAUUUCAUCCUAUUUGCCUCACUUUCCUCUUCUAUAAAAUGAGCAUGAGAAGGAAAUGGAAAACUACUCUUGUCUCUGCCUGGAAAACUCCAAAUGAGGUUAGGAAGAGUUGUACAUGACUCAAAAAUUGACUGAAAAACAACUUCUCCUUGGUCUUUAGUCCAUUUCCUACUACUUUAAUUGGAUGUCUGGAUAUUUUAAACUCAACAUGUCUAAAACAGAACUCAUUAGCUUUCAUUCUGAACUCUGCUCUUCCUAACUUCAUUAUUACUCUUGAGGAUAACACUAUCCUCCUAGACAUCCUCACAACCUCAGUACCAUCCUAGACUUUCCAUUUGGUCACAUUCCCCAUCCUAUAUCCAAACAUCUGCAAAGUCUUAUUGAUUCUACCUUCUUAAUAUGUCUAGUAUAUGUGAUCUUCUCUAACACUGCCACUAUUCAAUAGGACCCUUUUACUUCACACCUAGACUAUAGUCUUCUAUUUGGUCAUUCUGCCUCAAGUCUUCAGGCCUGGUUCUCUAUCCAAUAAGCCACCUAGCUGCUCCACUCUUUGUUAGUCUUCACACACAAUAAUCAUUUGCCUUGUCUUGAGUGUUUUUUAUUAGAUUUCUCUCAUGUCUUGGAACUCUCUCCUAAUCUUUGCCUCCUGGCUUUCUUGAAGUCUUACCUUAAUUCCUACUUCCUACCUUUGAGAAGCCCUUCCCAAUCUUCCUUACUGUUAGUGCCCAUCCCUCUGUCAUUAUCUCCUAUUUACCCUGCAUAUAUUUUUUUGUACAUGGUUGAUUGCAUUCUGUCUCUGCUCUUAAGACUGUGAGCUCCUUGAAAGAAGGGUUUUUUUUCUCUCUCUAUCCCCAGUAUUUAGAAUAUUGGCUAGUAUAAUUUAACCACUUAAUUAAUGAUAGUUGACUGACUGACCAAUACCACAACUGAGUAUUUUUGGAAAGUGGCAUAUUACCCAUCUUCCCACCUUUUGAUUGGUUGAUUACAUACCUUUUAUUUUUUUUAGAUUUUAUAAUUAGAUGAUUUAGAAUAUUUUUCCAUGGUUACAAGACUUAUGUGCUUUCCCUUCCCUCCCCCUCCCUUCCCAUAUCUGACGCACAAUUCCACUGGGUUUAUAACGUGUGUCAUUGAACAAGACCCAUUUCCAUAUUAUUAAUAUUUGCACUAGGAUGAUCGUUUAGAGUCUACUUUCCCAGUCAUAGCCCCAUCAGUCAAUGUGAUCAAUCAGUUGUUUUUCUUCUUGAUUACAUACCUUUUAGAGUCCUGUCAAGCCCCUUUUGGGGUCAUGCCAAAGCUACUACUUUGAAGACCACUACUCUAGGAGUUAACAGAACUCUGAGGACUCUCUAGAUUCUGAGGAGUGUGAUCACUUGUCUACUGUCAAAGAAAUAUGAUGGCUUUGUAAUUUUGUGGUAAUUAGUUAUGAAUGGAAUUACCAAAUUAGUAAACACCAGGGGAAAAUGAUGAGGAAAAUCCAUUUGGGGAUUAAUAGAGCAAAGGAGGCAGUGUCUUAUGACAGCUUCCUGGGAUAGUACAACAUCAAAAAGCAGGGACACACUACAGGGGGGUGAGAAAGCAGGAGGGACUGGCAGAGAAGUGAUCAAAGUUUCCAGUGAUCUCUUAAUUACUACAUCUAAUGGUAUCUUCUCAAUCAUAAUCCUUCUUGACCCCUCCGGAAGCUUCUGGCACUGUUGAUUUUUAUGACACUGUUCUUUUCUGGUUCUUCUACCAGUAUGACUUCGAUGCUGGUCCUCAUUACUUCGAAGUCAUGGUCCUCAAAACCCAGCUACGAUGGUCUGGACAUGUCAUCCACAUGGACCCACAGCGAAUACCAAGACAGGUAUUCUAUGGUGAACUGUUAGCUGGACUCAGGAAACAAAGCCGACCAAAGAAAAGAUUCAAGGAUCAGCUAAAGUCAAAUUUGAAGUGGGCUGGCAUCACACCAAAGCAACUAGAACUCGCUGCCUCUGUCAGAAGCAGCUGGGAAACCCACAUAAACCAUGCCGCCACCAUCUUUGAAGAUGAGCGACGUCGACGUCUUGCCGCUGCGCAUGAACGCCGACACCAGGCCACAACCGCACCUCCCGUAACAACUGGUAUUCCAUGCCCCAUGUGCCACAAACUUUGCGCCUCAGUCUUUGGACUUCAAAGCCACAUGAGGGUACAUCAAUAGAUGAUAAUGAUGAUAAUGCACAAAGAUAAUUGUCAUUCUCGGUCACCGAGAGACUACCACUAUAUACUAUACCAGUAUGACUAUUCCUUUUAGUUUUCUUUGUAGAGGCUUCAUCUAUGUCAUGCCCACUACCUAUCCUAAGCUUUCUUUUAUUCUCCCUUUACACCCUUUUGGUGACCUCAUCAGCUCACAUGGAUUUAAUAAUUAUCUUUAAGCUGUGGUCUUUCUCUUGAGCUCUCAUCCUGUACCACCAACUGCCUUAUGUAUGUUUCUGAUUGGAUAUUCUGUAGGCAUCUCAAAUAUAACAUGUCUAAAACAGAGUUAUCUUUCCCUUCAAUUCUGCCCCUCUUAUAAACUUCCCAAUUUCUGUUAAAGUUAUCACCAUCCUUCCAUUCAAAACUUACUAUCAUUCUGCGUUCCUCCCAGAUAUCAAGUCAGAUAUCACAUCUUAUCCCUUUACCUCCACAGCAUUUCUAAUAUAUAUCUGCUUCUUUCUACUCAUAAAGCUACCACUCCAGUUUACAGCUCAUCACCUCUCACCUGUAUUAUUGCAAUAGCCUACUAAUUAGCCUUUCUGUUUCAAGAUUUUCCCCCACUGCCAUCCACUCCUCACAAACCUGCCAAAGUAAUUUUUACUAAAACACAGGUUAGAUCUUGUCAAUUCCCUACUAGAUAAAACUCCAAUGGCUUGCUAUUACUUAAAGGAUCAAAAAACCUCUUGUAUUUGGCAUUUAAAACUCUUGAUAACCUGGACCCAAUCUAUCUUUUUGGCCUCACUAUGUGAUAUUUCCCUUCAUAUAAAUUAUGGUUCAGACAAACUAGUCUUCUUAAUAUUUCUCCCACCUAGCUUCCUCUCAUUGAAAUUAUUUUGUAUAUAUGACAUUUCUGGCAUGUACUCCCUCUUUACCUCUGUCUUGAAGAAUCCCCAGUUUUCCUUCAUGGUGUUGCUUAAAUACCAUCUUCUUCUUGAAGUCAUUCAUAUCCUUCCAGAUGCAAGAACCUCUCCCUCCCCUAAAAUUACCUUGUAUUUGUUUUGUGUAAAUAUAUAUAUGUACAUAUACACAUAAAUGUACAAACAUAUACAUGCUUAAAUGUAUGUGUGUGUAUGUUUACUCUAACCAGAUUAUAAGCUAUUUGAAGGUAGGAGAUGUUUCAUGCUUUUCCUCCCCCUUGCAUCUACAUAGAGUGCUUAAGAAAUGCUAACUGAUAGUUUGAAAGAAGAGUAUUGGGAGUCAGAAUGCUGUCAUUUAUUCCUGCCUUAGUUGCUGAUCUGCUCCUCUCAACUUGAAAUUGGGACAAAUCAUCCUGGGGGCAGGACAGAGCAUGAUAAAAUGGUCGUUCGAUGCUGCAACUAGAGGGAAUUAAAUUAGAUAUACAGAACUUCUUGAUGGAGAGGAUAAUAGGGCACUUAGGUCACUGCUAUGGAAUAUCCUUCCCUGAACAUCUUUAAAAAAAAACAGGAGAAAUUCUUAUCUGCUUAAUUCUUGUCUGAGAAAGUAAAUAAGUUGUCUUGACAGAAGGCAAGGGAAUAGAACAGAUGACCUGUUAGCCUGAAGUUUCCAGCCUGAAGCCUUCUUCCUGGGAUACUUUGAGACCAAGUGAAGAGGGCUCUGGAUUCCUGGGAGAAUAGCACUUUACUGCCAGAAAUAUAAGGAUGGGCCUAGGGAAGGUCUAGGAGUGGUUGUCAUCAAUCAUGGAGAUCUAGAACUUCCAUCAAGUGCCUAUCCACCCAUGGCAGUAAACUGGGAGUGCACAGACUCACAGAUAUAGUUUCUGCUUUUAAGAAGACAGUCAACAUAGAUAUGUAGAGAGUAUUCCAGAUAAAAACAAAAUGCUUCAUUCAUUGGCUAUAUUAGGAGUCUGCAUUAAGUAGAAGCAGAGAGAAGGGUAAGUGGUAGAUAGUUAGGUGGCUCAGUGGAUAGUCAGUCCAAGAGACGGGAGGUCUUAGGUUCAAAUCUGGCGUCACACACUUCCUAGAUGUGUAACCCUGGAAAAAUCACUUAACUCCUAUUGCCUAGACCUUACCACUCUUCUGCCUUAGAUCCAACACGUAGUAUUAAUUCUAAGGUGGAAGGUAAAGGUUAAAAAAAAAAGAAAGAGGGGUGAGUUAAUUGAAUUAAGAUGGUAAUUGAGGAGCAGGUGCUUAACUAGGAGUCUGGUGAGGAGGCAAACAUCCCAUCAUUUGUUCUGGUUUGGACAAGAGGGUCAAGAAUAUUUGAGGGAUUGUGGCAGGAAAUUCAUAGCGUAACAUGUCAUUGAGUGGCAUAUGAAAACAGAAUUAAGACAAGAAGGUAGUGGUAGGGAUCCUACUCCAUGAGAACAAGAAAUAUGCCAUAUCUCUGAAUAUAUACUGUGCUCAGUAUAGCACUUUUUUAAGGAAAAUUUGUAAUACAAAUUUAAUAAUACUAAUAUAUUGACACCCCUUUAAUGUUUGCAAAGCACUUUACAUAUAUUAUCUCAUUUGACCUUCUCAACAACAUUUUGAGGUAAGUAUGAUAUUUUCAUUCCAAUUUUACAGAUGUGGAAACUGAGACCUAGGAAAGUUGAAGGACUUACACAGGGUCAUAUAGUGAGUAAAUGUCAGAGGCAGUGUCUAAACCUAUCUUGCUGUUGUUUUUUUUUUUGUUUAGUUUUUAAAACAUUAUUUUAUUUGGUCAUUUUCAUACAUUAUUCAUUGGAAACAGAUCAUUUACUUUUCCUCCCCCACUCCCCCCACCCCCUUCGUCUGGGUAUCACAUGUGUCCUUGCUCUGAACCCAUUUCCUUGUUGUUGGUAUUUGCAUUAGGUUGCUCAUUUAGUGUCUUUCCUUGAUCAUGUCCCCUCGACCUCUGUAGUCAAGCAGUUGCUUUUUCUCGGUGUUUUUACUCCCUCAGUUUGUCCUCUGCUUGAGGAUAGUUUUUUCAGUACAGCAUUUUUGCACACAGUAACUUAAAAAUAUCCCUUACUUUCUAUAUUAGGAUCAAUACAAAAUAUUGGUUCCAAGAGAGAAGAGCAGUAAUGGCUAUGCAAUGGGGUUAAGUGACAUACCCAGGGUCCCACAGCUAGAAAGGGUUUUGAGAUCACAUUUGAAAUGAGGACCUCCCAUCUAUAGGCCCGUCUCUCUCUUUCCACUAAGUAACCUAGCUGUGCCACACAUAGUAGGAAAGAAAAACCUCAAAGCUAGUUUCUAAGCUAGGGGAAUUCAAUGAGCAACCUAACCCCAGAUAUGAAAGUAAGCCAGAGUAACUUGGGCUUUGACCUAGGAGAGUGAUAGAACUCUUUUAGCAAUUAGAAACAACUGACCUUAGUUAGUCCCUUAGUUAGCAAGAAUAAUUAGUUUAAAUUGAAAGCUACCAGAUGGUAAGCUUCUCACCCUCUCUUCUCUGCUCCCCCCUCCUCAAUCUUGGUCAGUCUUCUUGAUUAAGCUCUGCCCUGCGACCUUGGCAGUCAAAUUCUCCCUAGCAGUGGUCAUGGAGUCCUUGAGUCUUUGCCUUGGCAUCAGAAGCCCAAGAAACAAGGUUGCCUCCUCGCUUCCACUCAACUGAAUUUGUUUUAAGAAAAGUUAAGUUAAAGGUAUUUUUCAUAGUAUUUUCCCCAGCAUGUUAUGUGGUAUUUUCCCUGGGCUACCAAAUUGCUAGUUUUAUUUCUCAAGGGGGAUACAGGUGGUGAUGGGAGUGGGAUCUCUGUUCUAAUAAGAUAGCAUGAGGUGGGCUGUAUCAAAACCUCAAUCAAUCAGGGAAAAUACCACAUAACAUGCUGGGGAAAAUACUAUGAAAAAUACCUUUACCCCCUUAGGUCACCUGUACAUAGAGAGAAGACAGCUAGUGUGGGCAAGAAUUAAAAAGGAUAUGAUGAAGGUUUGAAUGCAGAGGAAUCCAAAGAAGAUGAGGCCAUAAAAACAUUAGAAAGACAAGAGGAAGAAAAGGGAUGAAUUUAAUAAAGGUGGAGUUGAGCUUGCUGGGGAGGAGAAAGAAAAGUACAAGAAGCAAACACCUGCCAAAGAAGGGAGAAGAAAGAAUUCAUUAUUUGAAUGUCAUAGCACAUUAGAACUAGAAAAGAAUUCAAGAGAUAAUCCAAUUCAAAUCUCAUUUGCCAGAAUAAGAAAUGGAGGCUGCAGAGCUGUAGAAGGAGAACUAGAAUCCAGAAAGGUGACAUGACGAUGGAAAGAGCACAUGAUUUUGAGACAGAAGACCUGGGUUCAAAUUCUAUCUCUAUAACUGUGUGACCUGAGGCACGUCACUUUCUUUUUCUUCUUUUUUAAAACCCUUACUUUCAUCUUAGAAUCAAUACUAAGUCUCAGUUUCAAGGCAGAAGUGUGGUAAGGCUAUGCAACUGGGGCUAAGUGACUUGCCCAGGAUUCCAUAGCUUUGAACCCUGAACCUCCUGUAUCUAGGCUUGGUUCUCAAUCCACUCAGCCACCUAACUGCUCUAGGAGGGUCACUUUCUCUUCAGUUUCCUCAGUUAGGUGGUAGUGGAUAGAGCAGUGGGCUUGAAAAUAGGAAGACUCAUUUUCAUAAGUUCAAAUUUGCCCUCAGACACUUUUUUUUUUUUGUAAAAAACCCUUACCUUCCGUCGUGGAGUCAAUACUGUGUAUUGGUUCCAAGGCAGAAGAGCUGUAAGGGCUAGUCAAUGGGGGUUAAGUGAUUUGCCCAGGGUCACACAGCUGGGAAGUGUCUGAGGCCAGAUUUGAAACUAGGACCUCCCGUCACUAGCCCUGGUUCUCAAUCCACUGAGCCACCCAGCUGUCCCCUGCCCUCAGAUACUUAAUAACUGUGUGACCCUGGGUAAGUCACUUAACCCCAUUUGCCUCAGUCCCUCAUCUGUAAAAUGAACUGUAGAAGGAAUGGCAAAUCAUUCACAGAUCUUUGCCAAGAAAACUCCAAAUGGGGUCGGUUACAAAAAAUCGGACAUAACUGAAAUGACUCAAUAAGAAUACAAUUACUCAUCUAUAAAAGGAAGGGGAUGGACUAUAUGACUUCCCUCACAAGGAACUCUCAGUUCUAAAACCCCAUGAUCCUUUAACUUGUAGACCAGAGAUUCUACUUGAUGUCAAUUUCUGUUGUUGUUUAAUCAUGUCUGAUUCUUCACAACUCCAUUUAGAUUUUUCCUGGCAAAUAUAUUGAAAUGAUCUGCCAUUUACUUCUUCAGCUCAUUUUACAGAUGAGGAAACUGAGGCAAAUGGGGUUAAGUGAUUUGUCUAGGAUCACACAGCUACUUAAUGCUUGAAGUUGAAUUUGAACUCAGAAAAAUGAGUCUUUCUGACUCCAGAUCUGGUACUUUAUGCAUUGUGCUACCUAGAUACCCCUUAUGCCAUAUUAUCUCUUAUAAUGAAAAGACACUUCAUCACCAUUCUUCUCUCCAAACUUCAGCUCUAGUCACAACCACUUUUCACUUCAACUCUAUCUCAGUUUCUUCAACUUUAAAAUGGAGACCAUAACAGAGUCCUAUCUCAAGGUAGCUGUGAGGAUCAAAUGAGAUUUUAUAUAUAUAUAUAUUUUUUUCUAGUUAAAAAUUUUUAAACUUUUAUCUUCCAUUUUAGAAUCAAUACUGUGUAUUGGUUUGAAGGCAGAAGAGUGGAAAGGGCUAAGCAAUGAGGAAUAAGUGACUUGCCCAGGGUCACCUGAGAUAAUAUUUGUAAAGUGCUUACUACAGGACCUGGCACAAAAUAUAUGCUUAAUAAGUGUUUAUUUCCUUCUUUCCUCCCCACCCCCAAGUGAGAGAUGUGGUAUGGACAGGAAAGAUGGGAUUCCAAAUUCUUACAGCAUCCUCAGUGAAAGUAGACCUCAUUAGGGCAUUAUUCCAUGACAGAGUGAAAAAGAGAGUAACAUAACCCUGUUAAGCAAAAAGCUCUGCUCAGAAGCAGAGACAAGGGUUAUCCUUCAUUGUAGGUGAACUGGGUUUGACAUUAUCAUAAGCUUCUUAGGAUCUGUUGUUUUAGUCAUUUUUAAUCGUGUUUGACUCUUUAUGAUCCUUUUUGGACAUUUUCUUGGCAGAAUGAUUGCCAUUUAUUUCUCUAGUUCAUUUUACAGAUGGAGAAAGUGAGGUAAACAGGGUUAAGGGACUUGCCUGGAGUUGCAUGGCAGGGUAAAUGUCUGAAGUCAGAUUUGAACUUAGGUCUUCCUGAUGCCUGGCUCUAUCUACUGUGCCACCUUCCUUCAAAGCUUAGCUCAAGCACCACCUUCUUGAUUAACCCAGCUUUUUCCUACUCACAUAUAAACUCAAGUUUCUUUUAAUUUUAAAUAAAUCUUUAACCCUUUACUUAUAAGUGUAUAGGCUGUCUUCCUCAGGUAGAUGUAAGCUUCUCAAGGGCAGAGACAGUUUCAUUUUUGUCUUUGCAUCUGUAGCAUAAAUGUUUCUCCAAUGAAAUUAGGACCAGAAUUUGAGACAGGUUGCUCUACUUUUUCCCUAGGUCAUACAUGGUGGUGAGGUACGUUACAGUGGUCUCACUGAGACUCAUCACCAGAUGCAGCAGUGAUUUUCUUCUGCUUCAUGAGCAACUUUGGCUUUCCUGAGAGCCUCUGACUAGAUAGAAACACUUUUUGGAUGACAAUAAAAUGGAAGCAGAAUUCUGAGAGAAGCCAGUGGCAAUAUGAGGGUGAUGGAAGGCCUUGGAGAAGGGUCAGACAAGAAAGAAUGGGAAGGAAAGCUAAUGUAGGGUGGAUAGAGCUAGCUUUGAUGAUUGAUUAUCUCAAUUAUCUGUGGUUAUAGGGCAUGAGGUGGGGUGGGGGAUGGGAGUAGGAGGGAAAGUAUGUAUCACAGUAAUCCACAGAUUUCUAUAAACCUCAUUUUAUUCAAUAAUUUAAAAAUCUUUUAACUAGCAAGUCAUUGUUUCCUCAUUUGUAAAAUAAGACUAAAGGACUAAAUGAUCUUGAAGGUCUUAUCCAGCUCUGAAGCUUAUCUUUCUGUGAUUCUAAAUUGUCUCCUAGAACUUCUCACAUCAUCACCAUCCAAAACAAACAUUUAUGAAACACUAGGGGUAGAAUGCAGUAUCAUGGCCUGGAAUGGUGUAAGACAGCAUCUGUCCUCAAAGGACUCAUAAUCAAUCUCACUGAGGAGACAGGAUAGAUAUAUAAUGAUCAAUAACAAUAAAAGUUGGCAUUUGUUAAGUGCCAAAUGGAUGGUACAGACAGUAAGUGUUGGAGGCUUUUGGAGAAGGAGGAAGGCAUCAAAGGCUGGGAAGAACUUGAGUUGAGUCUUGAAAAAUGGGUAGAAAAAAACCAUGAAGUGUGUGUUUUCCUUCUUUGUAUCCUUGGGCAUUUACUAAAUUCUGCCUUAUAGAAUAUAUGGAGUCUUUAUAUCUUGGACUUUGUCAUUUUUGCAGAUCUUAAAGGAGUGGUGCGGUAGCCAGUUGCCACAGUGGAUGGAGAUCUGGGUCUGGAGUCAGGAAGACCUAAGUUCAAGUUUGGUCUCUGACACUUAUUAGCUGUGUGAACCUGGGCAAUACAUUUACCCCUGUUUGCCUCAGUUUCCUCAUCUGUAAAAUGAGCUAGAGAAGGAAAUGGCAAACCACUCCAGUAUCUUUAAUAAGAAAACCCCAAAUGGGGUCACAAAGAGUGAGACAUGACUGAAAGAACUAAAUAACAAUAAACCAAAGAGUCAAAUACAACUCCUGGCUGCCACUCCAGUCAGAUUAAAAUGUGUAAAAAUCCAAUAGGACAUAGAUAAUGUUAAUAUGUGGUUUCAUAAAUCCUUUCUACUUGAGUUUGACAUUCAUGCCUAAAACAUUUUAAAUAGCAAGGAUUGUUUCAUUUUUGUCUUUGUAUCCCAAUAAAACAGCACAAUGUCUUAAUAAAUGAUCAUUGAUUGGUUAAAUGAAGGGAUAAGAUAGGCAUUGUAGGAAGAGGACCAGUGAGUAGAUGCUGAUUUAUUAGGACAUCAUAUUGGCUAGCACAGUGGGGUUCUGACUCAAAGAAGUAGAUGAUUACAUUGGUAAAAAGAUAGGUAGGAGGACAGUUGGUGGUACAAUGGAUUGAGAGCCAGGCCAGAGUUGGAAGGAUCUGAGUUCAAAUCUGCCUUCAGACACUUCCUACCUGUAUGAACCUGGACAAAUCACUUAAUCCCUUUUGCUUAGCCCUUGCCCUUAUCUUUAAGAAUUGUUACUAGGACAAAAAGUUAGGGUUAAAAAAAGAUAGGCAGAAGCCUACACAAUAUAAGUGCUGUACAAAUCGAAGAAAUUCAGAGGAUCAUCUGGAAAGGGUUUCUGUGGCCCAAAUCAUAGUUAUCUAAGAAUCCAGUUUACAACAAGUGGGUUCAACCUUUGCAUGGAGAUCUCUAGUGAGGAGGAAACUCCAUACUUAUCAAGCUCAUUUAAACUUUGUAUAGCUCUAAUUAUUAAGAAAUAUUUAAUAAUAAUAAUAAAGAUGGGUGUAGUUCUUUAAAUAUUGCAAAGUACAUUAUUUCAUCUGAAACUCACAAUAGCCCUGGGAAUUAGGUGCUAUUAUUAUUUUCAUUUUCUAGAUGAGGAAACAGAGGCAAAUAGGGUUUGCUUAGGGUCACACAACUAAUAAGUGUCUGAGGCUGGAUUUGCACUCAUGUCUUCUUGACUCCGACCCAUGUACUAGCCACUGAGGGAGGCACUUAGCUGCCUGAGUGAUGGUAUUUCUUUCUCUUCUUCCUUAUUUUCUUCUACCUUCCAUCUUAGAAUCAAUAUUAUGUAUUAGUGGUAAGGCAGAAUAAUCAGUAAGAGCUAGGUAAUGGUGGUUAAGUGACUUCUCUAGGGUCUUACAACUAGGAAGUAUUUGAAUCUAGAUUUGAACCCAGGAACUCUCAUCUCCAAGUGUGGCUCUCUAUCCACCAAGUUACCCUUUACCUUUCUUGAUAUAGCCUAGAAUAGCAUCAGGUUUUUGAGCUGCUAGGUCUAUCACUACCCCAUACUUAUGAUAAAAAAUUAUAAAAUUAUAUACAAAUAUUUAUAUAUAGAUAUAAAUAAGAAUUUAAAUAUAUAAAAUUUAUAAAAAUAAUGUGUGUGUGUAUGUGCUAUAGCAAGGGAUUUGAUCAAACUGAGUUCUAAAGUACACAAAAUGACAAGAUAUAGAUCUUUGUCAGAAGCUGGACAUGGAGCUGGACAUGAGUUGGGCCUCAGCACUGCAUUUGGGGAUGAUGUAGUAACACUUGAUUGGUCCCUGUGUGUCUCAAUGACUAGAGGUUUGUAACAAAAACAUUUGUUAUGGAAAUGAGAGAACAUUCUCCUCCAACUUUCUAUAAGAGAGUCAGAAAUGUGUUCUUUUGAGGUUCUAUUGCUCUUGGGAUGCAUACAAUGCUUUAUCUCCCUAGGAUUUCUAGCAAAGAAAUGAGGGAAUCUCAACUCCCAAGCAUAUGACAGAAGGAAUAUGUAGCCUAGGAGAACUUGAGACCCUAGUUGGCUUCUUUUGUUUUCUGUCUUCUUUCCUGAGCACAAGCCAGAGGCCAGCAGGAUUCUGAGAAAUGGAUAUUUUCAGUCUCAGUGAGUUGAACUUUUCAUGAGUUCAAGACUGGGAAUUUUGAAGGUGGGUUCCAUUUGCCCAAUAGGAGACUAUUUAAAUGGCAGUUAUUAAAGGUUUGGUGUCAUUGUGGCAAGUUGUGUUUAGCAGAAUACCCCAGUGAUCUGUAUUUGGCCCUGUGCUGUGAAACUAUUUAUUUAUUUAUUUAAGAAUUGGAUAAAGGCAUAGAUGGUAUGCUCAUCAAACAAAAGUAGGAGGGAUAAUUAACACAGUGGAUGACGGCCAGCAUCCAAAAACAUCUUGACAGGUUAGAGCAUUGAGCUGAAUCUAAUCAGAUAAAAUUCAAUAAGGAUAAAUGUAAAGUCUUGCACUCCAGUCCAAAAAACCAACUCCAUUAAUAUAAGAUGGGGUAGCAUGGAUAGAAAAAAGUUGUUUUGAAAAGGAUCUCAGGGUUUUAGUGGACUGCUUGCUCAAUAUGCGUCAACAAUGUGAUGUGAUCAUCAAAAAAAGCUCAUGUCUUAGAUUGACUAAGGCAGGGGACUGACUGCCAGAAACAGGGAGAUACAAUUUCACUGUCCUAAGUUCCUAUCAGAUCUCAUCCAGUGUACCACAUUCAGUUCUGGGUGCUAUUACUUAAGAAAGACACUGAGCUUCUAGAAGAGGGCAAUCAGGGUGGUGGAAGGAUCUUGAGUUCAUUGUAUUUGUCAUGCAGGGAAAACAAAAUAUUGAAAGGGGUUAGCUGUUUUCAAACCCUUUAAGCAAUAGAUAGAAGUGGCAAGUUUAAUCUUGAUACUUCCAAAUAAUUACAGUUAUCCAAAGUGGAAUAAGCUUGCUAAGUAGUAGAUUCCUGGGGUCAUUAAAGGUCUUAAAGCAAACCUACUUGUGAGGUGUACUGUCAGUGGGAUUCUCCAAAUAAUGAGAUUCUAUAAUUCUGUUAAAAUCUUCAAUUUGCAGAUCCAGGACCAAUGGGGUGAAGGUUGCAAACAAGUCAAUUUAGGCUUUGUGUUGGGAAAAAAUUCUUAAAAUUAGUGAAGUUGUUCUAAAUGUGAGAUGGCUUGCCUUAAGCGUUAGUGGGUGCUUUUUGGAAGUCUUCAGUGCACAGAAUGGAUAAUCAUUUGUUUUCAGGUAUCCUUUUAUGAGUUGCACCAGAGAGCCAAUGAAGUCUACUUCUCAAUUCUGCGAUUCCCAAAACAAUGCUACUUCUCAGGAGAACACCUGAGGAGGAUUCUGUAGUAGACAAACAAAAUAAAACUUAAGCUUUGUCCAAGUUAGCCAGGAAAUCUGGACCUUCUGAGUUCCUCAGUCAGAGCUGAUCUGAGGUGAAUGUGAGCUAUCUUUUCAGUUGUCUUACAAAGCUGCUUUUAUUUUCUGGGAGACUGUAAUGAAAAUAAUGGAUGAUUGUUUUAUAUUUUUCUGUAUUUGUUCAUGUGCAUUUUUGAAUCAUUUGUGUUUUCAACAUUUUCUUUUCUUCUUUUUUAUUUUUUAAACCCUUACUUUCAAAGUAACAAAAGAAACAAAGUAACAAAGAAAGUAACAAAUGAGUUAGUAUGUCAUGUUUAACCCUUUAACCUUUUUUAUUUGGGAUUUCCUUGGUGAUCAAAUUAAUUUAGAUUUUAAGUCACAAUGCUAAAAUUAUCCUUUACAGCUUUGCAAGAAUCUGAAAAUAAACUACAGAAAAUUAUGCAAAAAUCUGAAUAUAAAAUACAGGAAAACAUAAAAAACAUGCAAUAUAAAACACAGGAAAAUAUUUAAAAAAUUUAAGGCUUACAUGAAAACAUGUAAGCCCAAUUGGACAAUUUAAAAUGUUUCCUACAGGAUCAAUUGGCAAACAUCCACCCCACCACAAAUAGGUCUGGACCUGACAGACCUGUUUCUGAACCUCUAAAUGAGGAAAUUUCCUUCCCCGAAAUAUAGAUGAAAAACACUUUCCUGUAGCUCAGCUAACAGACUGGUUCUCUCAUGGUAUGCCAUUCUUGGAUGAACUUAAUUCCCAAGAGCCUUCCCCUGAAAUCCCAGUUUCUCAUGUUCCUUCUCCUACACAAAACCAAAUUCCAGCCUAAAGGAAAUCUCAUCCUUCUAAAGAAACUCAUCUUAGUCAAACUGACCUACAGGUAACAAAUUCAAUUAGAGGCCUGUUUCCUCUAAGAGAAGUACCUGAAAUAGGAUGGAACAGGUGUAAACCUUAAAAUUUCCCAGACCCUACUUUAUAAGAUUGGAUUAAGACCAUUCCCCAUUUGGGCAGUGAAAUCUACUUAAAGCAGGAAUGUGAGAAUUCUACUUUACCUACUUGGGUCUGUCCUAGGUGAAGAUAAAGUUGUAAACUCUUUUCUGAACAAUGAAAAGUACUUAAACCCAUACUUUUCUUAAGGUAAGUACCUAUAAAGGUCAAGCAACUUGUGAAUUUACAAGGAACAAAGAACUGGAAAACUUACUCAGAGCUUUCCUGGUGUGAAUUACUCAAAAAUCCACACCUUCUUAGGUGUGGACUAAGAAUGGGCGGUCCUUUAGAAAAACGUCUACUGUGAUUGGUAAGGACUUAGGGGAGGUGACAUAGGAGAUUUUGCCCUUAAAAAUAAGAGCUCAGGGAAGAGCUGGAAAGUCAUUCUGAAACAUUCAGAUUGGAGAGACUCAUUCUGAGGAGACUGAUUCUGAAACAUUCAGAUGGAGGAGGGAGCUGGUGAAAGCAGCUGAGAUGCUGCUGGCCUGGUGUCAUUAGAAAUCCUUACUUAGACAGAUCUUAUGGUGAGUAUAAAAAACUGACUGAUUUCUCUUAAGGCUCAGGUCUAGGCCAUGUUGGCUUCAGGCCCUUCAUACUUAUUCCUUUCUUACUCUCUCUCUCUCUUUCUUUGAUUACUCAUUGUAUUGUUAAUUAAAAUCUCUAUAAAACCCAAUUGACUUGGGUAUUUGAAUAAUUGGGAAUAUUUCCCUGGCAACCACCUUAUAUUUGAUUUAAAAACCAAGACACUGUAGUGAAACAUAUUUCUGCGUUCAAAAUUACUCACUCUCUCUUAUAUCUAUCACAAUUUAUAUCUUCCACCAUUUUAACUCACUACAGUUUAUGACCUCAAUCAUUUUAAAUCUCACACAGGGAUGUGGUGACUUGAAGGCACAAUAUACCAUUUAUUCCCCAAGAAAUAAAUGAAUUUACACAAAAUAUCCCCACAUAUGAACAAGAUCCCUUUCUAGUAACAAAAAAGAUGACAGACAUAUUUUUUCAGUAUAAUCCGCCUUAUAAGGACAUUGAAAACUUGCUACAGGCUUUUUUAACUGAACAUGAGAAAAAUAAAAAAAAUUGCUCAUGUCAACAAAACUUGGGGGCACAGUGCAGCACAUUGGCCAUCUCAGGAUUGUGAAUGGGACUAUAACAACUCUGAAGAUCUUUUACAACUAUAUUACUGUAGAGAGGCCAUCUUAACAGCAAUGAGAGAGUGUGCAGGCAGUAUAGAUAAGUAGACAGAAUUUGAAAAAAUUAAGCAAAAUGAGGAAGAGACACCCUCCAGAUUCAUGGGCAAAAUAAUCGAGUUUGGGGGUAGAUAUCUGGAUUUUGACCUAUCUAAAGGAAAUUGCAUAAGACAAGUUAGAAGGCCCUUUGUCAAUAACUCUUGCAGAGUGAUUAGGGAUUAUUUUAGAACACAUUGCCCAAGAUGGCUAGAGAUGGACCUUGAAGAAUUGCAGAAAACAGCUCUAUAUGUUUCAAAGGGAAACAAAGAAAAGGAGGAAGAAAAUAAUAAUGCCAUGGAGGAAAUGAAGAAAGAAAUGAGAUGUUUAAAAGAUAAGAUAGCUAAAUUAGAAAGUGGGCAUGAUAAUGAACCAAUGACACUUACCCCUCUCCAGAAAUCUAAUUAUCAAUCCAUUACCUGCCACUUCUGUGGGAAGAAUGGCCACAAUAUGAUACAAUGUAGAGAUUUUCUCAAGAUUAUAGGAAGGAAUACACAGUUUAAUAACAACUACAGAAGUGAUAAUUAUAGAAAUAACUAUAAUAAUGAUAAUGGAAACCACAACUUUAGGAAUGAUAAUUAUAGGAAUAGAUAUUGGGAAAAUGAUAACUCAAACCAAAUAACUCCACAACAAUAUAACUUAAGUGGUGCUCGUCCAAAAAAUACUCAGGGUUCUAAUGCCCCUCAGAGGGGUGCCCUUCAGGGGGGUGCCCAAGGAACUUCCCAAAUACAAUGGAAGUGUCUGUGGGGGCACAGGAAUCAGAAGAUACAACUUUUGAUUUUCCAGACCCUGAUGUCCAACUACCUGUUGUCCCUAUCCACUGCUCUCCCUAUACUAAUUAACCCCAUGUUAUCUUAAAGGUGGGUAACACCUAUUAUGAUUUUCUUUUAGAUACUGGAGCUUCCAGGUCUGUAUUAAAGAAUACACCUGAUUUACAUUGUUAUUCUGUUGGCUCAGAGAAUGUAAUGGGAGUGUUAGGAAUACGCCAAAGAGUUAAAAAACUUUCCUCUAGAAUGGUGUCUGUAGGACCCCUAGAGGUACAACAUUCCUUCCUAUUGAUGCCCGACUCUCCUUUAAAUUUGCUGGGGAGGAACCUUCUAUGCAAACUCAGAGCCACAAUAACUUGCUCCCCAGAUGGUUCCUUAUCAUUGGAAGUACCUGAGGAAUCUUUAAAUUUACUCCCUGCAAUUCUUUCAGAGAGUCAGGAGGGGAAAAAGCAUCCCACCAUUGUAAUCCUGAAGAUAUACCUGAAUCUCUUUGGGCCACAUCUUCUUCCAAUGUAGGCUUACUUAAGUCGGCUGUUCCUGUGUAGAUAAAAACUAAAUUGAGCCCACCUCCUUCCAUUCCUCAGUAUCCCCUCUCAAAAGAAGCAAUUGAGGGUAUUACCCCAGUAAUAAACUUAUUAAUCCAUCAGGGAAUAAUAAUCCCUUGUAAAUAUGAAUACAAUAUUCCCAUCCUACCCAUUAAAAAACCAAAAAGGGGGUCUUAUGGCAAGUACCUCUAUAGAUUUGUACAGGAUCUGAGGGCUGUGAAUAACCACAUUACAAAGAGACACUCUAGAGUUUCCAACAUAUGUAUGAUUAUUUCUCCUAUUCCUAGCACAGCUACAUACUUUACAGUAGUAGACUUGUGCUCAGUCUUCUUUUCCAUACCCAUACAUGAGAAUUCCAGGCAUAUCUUUGCUUUCACCUGGAAGGGCUCUCAAUAUACAUGGAGUCGUCUGCCACAGGGUUACAUGGAAAGCCCAAGUUUAUUUGCACAAAUUUUGAGCCAAGACACAGAUGAUAUAUCAUUUAAAAUAUCAAAUUGAUCAAAUAUGUAGAUGAUCUACUCUUGGCCUCAACAGAUACAGAAGCAUAUCAGGAAGAUAGUAAAUACCUUCUUUUGGAAUUGCACAAAAGAGGAUCUAAAACAGACUAUCCUCUCUGACCCUGCUCUAGGCAUCCCAGAUUACAACAAGCCUUUUAUUUUGUAUGUACAUGAGCAAAGAGGGUGUUUUAAUUCAGACUUUGGGGCCUUCUCAGUGCCCAACUGCUUAUUUUUUUUCCCAAUUGGACCCAGUGGCAUCAGGAGCACCACCAAGUCUUAGAGGAGUAGCUGCUACAGCCUUACUAGUGACAAAAACUGUUGAUCAAGUAUUAGGAUGCCCAUUAACAAUUAUGUGCCCACAUGAGGUAGAAGCAUUGUUGCUAAGACAUAGAACACAGGCAUUCUCAGAUCAGAGAAUUACAAGGUAUGAAAUAACCUUGUUAAAUAGUGAAAACAUCACCUUGAAAUGUUGUACAACCCUUAACCCUGCCACCUUGCUUCCAGAUUUACCAACUUUAGGAGAACCAUUACACAGCGGUGAAACACUAGUGUCCAUGGCAGAAAAGCCUCGAGAUAAUCUCUUGGACACUCCCCUAGACAAUCCAGAUCUGGUCUUAUUUACUGAUGGUUCCUCUUUUAUGAGGGAUGGCAUACGCUACACUGAAGCUGCUGUAGUCAUAGAAUUUGCCACUGAGUUGUCAGCUUCACGGGUCUCUAAUAUUAGUGUUCAAGGGGCAGAACUCAUAGCUCUGAAACACAACUGUAUAAUUGCCAUGGAUAAAAAGGUAGGCAACACUUUAUAUGGAUUCUAGAUAUGCUUUUGGCAUCUGUCACUCAGUUGGGAUGCUAUGGCUCCAGAGAGGAUUUUUAACCUCAGCUGGAAAAUCUAUAGCUAAUGCAGAAAUUAUUAAUGAAGUUCUUUCUGCUCUCCAGCUGCCUGAAGCCCUGGCUGUAGUUCAUUUCUCUGCCCCUACAGGUGGCACUGACCUUGUCUCUAGGGGAAAUGAUUGAGCAGACACCACUGCAAAGCUAGGAGUCAUAGAAGGGCCUGAAUUAAAUUUAACAUUAAAAACCACUGAUGACUUAAAUUUAUCACUUUCCUAUAAUGAAAAGGAAGUGGAAAAAUGGAAGCAAAAAUUCAAAGCAAAACAGAUUAAUGGAGUAUUGGUGUCAUCUGAAGGAAAACCCCUGCUCCCUAGAAGUUUCUAUCACCAAAUUUGCCAAUCUAUUCAUAAAAAUGGUCACUUUGGCACCCAAGGCAUUGUGGACUCUGUCAAGAGAUUAUGGAUAGCCCCUGGUAUAACUACUAUAGCCUCUAAAGUGUGUACAGCCUGCCCUACCUGCCAAGCAUAUACCAACACGCCUUUCGUGGCAAAGCCUUUGGUGGGCGUCCUCUGGCUUACACCCCUUUUGAGCACCUACAGAUAGAUUUCAUAACAAUGCCAAAGGUCGGACAUUAUAGAUUUCUUCUAGUCAUAGUAGAUCAACUGACCAUACAGCCGGAAGCAUUUCCUGCGACCCGAGCCACAGGGGCUUUUGUUGCUAAGGUGCUUUUAAAAGAAAUUAUUCCUCUCUUUAGCCUGCCAGCAUGUAUUGAUUCAGAUAGAGAAAGUCAUUUUACUGAUUUUGUCCUAAAUCAAAUAUAUUCUUGCUUAGGGAUAACUCCCAAAUUCCAUGUUCCAUAUCAUCCCCAGAGCUCAGGCCAAGUUGAAAGAAUGAACAGAGAACUUAAAACUAUGAUUGGCAAAUUAUACACUGAGACACAUUUAAAAUAGCCUGAAAUUCUCCCUCUGGCCCUAUUUUAUCUUAGAAGCAGGCCUAGAGGAGACCUACACAUCUCACCAUUUGAGAUACUUUUUGUUUGGACAUUCACCUAUACAGGCUAAGCCUUUCUCCCCGGCAUAUAUAUCACUAUUAGGGGGGAGAUACUACUAUUUCUUCCUAUAUACAGGAAUUACAGCACAAACUGUGUGAACUCCAUGAAUCCAGAGAUGCAGUACAAGCCGGACCACUAGACUUUUCACUUCACGACCUGAAUCCAGGAGACAAGGUUUAUAUUAAGAAUUUUCAGUGUACUGGAGUAACUCAGCCUUCCUUCCUUACUUUCAAAAAAAAUUUCUUUUUUAAUCCCUUGUUUCUUUAAGUAUAUUUUGAAAUACUGCAAUUUAUGUAUGGCCAGUUAAGUGGAUUAAUAGAUUAUAUUAUCUAGUUUUAACUAAAGUAACCUGCACAACAUGGACAAGUGGCUUAAAAAUAUUCUUGUAAGGGCAACUAGGUGGCUCAGUGGAUAUUGAGCCAGGCCUAGAGGUGUGAGGUUCUGGAUUCAAAUAUGACCUCAGUCACUUUUUUAGUUGUGUGACUCUGGGAAAGUCACUUAAUCCUCAUUGCCUAGCCUUUACUAUUCCUCUGCCUUAGAACCAAUUCUAAAACAUAAGGUAAGGGUUUUUAAAAAAUAUUCUCGGGGGCAGCUGGAUGGCUCAGUGAACUGAGAGUCAAACCUAGAGACAGGGAGGUCCUAGGUUCAAAUCUGGACUCAGACACUUCCUAGCUGUGUGACCCUGGGCAAGUCACUUAACCCCCAUUGCCUAGCCCUUAUCAUUCUUCUGCCUAGGAGCCAAUAUACAAUAGUGACUCCAAGGCGGAAGGUAAGGGUUUUAUAAAAAAAUAUUCUUGCAAAGAAAGCAAGGAUUGAAGAUAAGAAUAAUAAUGUAAACACAUGUGAAUAACAGGAAAAUGGCAGCUUACAAUUUUCUGAUUCCUCUUAACAAGCUCUUUGUAAGUCACAUUAUAAAGUAAAAACAAUUAUUUAAUCAGAUCUGACAAGAAGUCAGGCAAAAAGUUUUAAAAUUAUCAAGAGGAUUAUUUGAAACAUGGAUUUAUAUUCAUUACCAUUAACAAUGAACCUUACCCCAAGUAUAUAUUGUGUCUUGAGAUAUUAACUAAUGAUAGUAUGAAGCCAUCACAAUUACCAGCCAUUUAAAAACUAAGCUAUUGUUGCUAACAAUAAUGCUACCUAUAAAAACCCUCAUAUCUUCACAACUUAAAAAUCUAGAAGUAGAAUUCUUUUUCCUGUUUCAAAAAUCUUCCAAAGGAAGAGUUUCAGUGGGUCUUAGAUUUAUUUGUAAAACAACAACAAUAACAACAAACAAACUUCUGAUUAGUUUGCAAGAACAACUAAUUGACAUUAAGGAAACUGAAAAUUUGUUAGCUGAAUUUCAAUAAAAAACUGCAUAAUUUGUGGAUGCCAUUAAAAUGAUUUAGCUAUAGUGGUCAAUGAUGUGUUUCUUCCAUUUGGAUCUGCAUAUCUAUGUGAUGAAUCCCUUUCAGUUUUGAUGCUUAUUAAAACUCAAUUUUAAAAGAAACUGAACAUAGAACCAGACCUUCCACUUACUGUAUCAUGAAAUGUUGGACCACCAUUUAAAAAACAAACAAUGAAGCAGGGGGUAGCUGAAUAGACUGAAAGCCAGGCCUAAAGAUGGAAGAUCCUGGGUUCAAAACUGACCUUAGAAACUUCCUAGCUGUGUGAACCUGGGCAAGUCACUUAAUUCCCAUUGCCUAGCCCUUACCACUCUUCUGCAAUAUACUGUAUUGAUUCUAAGAAGGAAGAUAAGUAUUUAAAAAAAUAAUGAAGCAUAUUCAGACAAAUUGCUUUCGCUAAAAAUUAAUAAAAUUAUAUUUGAAGAUUCUUUUUUAUCUUCAUCUUUUAAAUCACCUAUUGUUCUAUUGUUUUAUAUACAGUAUAAUAUGAGUGCAGUAGCACAUAUAUUAAUUAGUAUAUUUAGUGAGGGUGCAUGCUGAGAGGUUUUUUUUUUUAACUGAUAGAGGUACAUGAUGAAAAAAGUUUGUAAACCAUAGAUCAGUAAUUCCAAAUCACUGGCAGGUGGAAUUCCGAGUUCUGCCGCCAACUAGCCAAAUGACCAUGAGCAAGUUACUUAAUACCUCUGGGCCCGUUUCCUCAAGUGUAAAAUGUAGAUGAUAAUAUUUACACUGCCUUUUCUUUCUUAUAGGGCUGCUGUGAGGAAAGAGCUUUGUAAAACAUAAAGUGCUACAUAAAUAUGGCAUAUAAUUAGAGAAGUACUAACUGUAGAUUAGAAAAGACCACAGCUGGAAGUUAGUCCCAGUGUCUUCUUCUGGGCUAAAAUUCUCAACUGUAAGGUGUGGGGAAGAUCUGACAGGGGGCAGUCAGAUUUCAGUAUUGCUUCAGGUUUAUUGUUUCCUAUCGGCUCAAAAUCCAUCCAAAUUAGGCUACUUCCCAGAAUGCUUUCCUAAAUGAGCUGCAGUGCAGCUAGAACAUCUAACUGCCAUCAUGCUUAAUCAGAAUAUUACAGCUAGUCAUCAGGCAGGACCAUAAGCAGCCAUGGGGACUGGGGAAGUAAGGGAAAUGCCAGCCUCAUUAACUAGGAUGGGAAAGGAAUUUUCGUAGGGGAUGCUGGAGAGAGUGGGGCAGAAGGGGAGCUGGGAAAAGGAAAAGAAAAAGUGAGGAAGAGCUUUAGGGUCAUGGCUUGAAACUUUCCCCAAACUGUCAGGAUUGUAGGAGCUGACUCUGGGAUUCACCCUCCCCCAGUUUAAACCAUAGAAGCACUCCAGAACUUUCAUCCUUUGGUUUGCAGACUUCCCAGUUUGAAAAGAGACCUGAAUGGGAGGAGUGGGUGGUUGGAGGGGGGGGGGGGAAUGAGAGAGACACACACAGAUAGAGAAAGACAGAAAGACAGAUUUAUAUAAGAGAUUCAGAGACAGAAAUAACAAAGAAACAGAGAAAUGUGUUUGCAAGUCUUCUGUAUUUCUGUAAAUAGGUGAUAAUCCUUUAAAAUGCUUAAUAUUUGAUUAUCCUAGAACUCAUUUAGGGCCCUGGGUGCUUCCUUUGUUUCUUUAACAACUCAUUAAGAAGGGAAGCUAGGUGUCUCAGUGGAUAGAGAGCCAUGCCUGGAGACUCUAGGCAAUAACUUAACCUCUAUUGCCUAGACCUUAGCUCUCUUCUGCCUUGGAACCUAGAUUUAGUAUUGAUUCUGGAAUCAGCUGGAAGGUAAAGGUUUUUAAAAAAAGUAAAAGAUGCACCUACCCCCAAAGAGUUUACAUUCUAACAAGGGUGCCAUGAGUGAAUAUAGGUUUAUAUAGAAUACAUACAAAGCAGAUACAAGAUAACUUUAAGGGAGUGGGCACUAGCAACUCUGGGGUCCCAUGGCCCCAUGGCCAUAGCAUUUGAGAUGAGUCUUGAAGGAAACUAAGGAUUUAAAAGCAGAGAUGAUGAGAGAGAUCUUCUAGGCAUGGGAAAGAGCUAGUAGUAGAAUUAGGUGACUAUGGAAGAUGGAGAAUUGUACUUGUGGAAGAAGAUGGGCUUGGCUGGACUAGAGAGUACUCAGAAGAGAAUAAUGUGCAAUAAAGCUGGAAAGGUAGGAUGGGGCCAGACUGUUUAAAGGGUUGAGAAUGCCAAACAAAGGAUGUUAUAUUUGAUUCUAGAGAUAUCAGGAACUGCUGGAGUUUACUGAAUAGUUGGGGAGGUGAACUUACACCUUAGAAAAAUCACUCUGACAGCUUUGUGGAGGAGAUAUUGGAAUGGGGAAUGACUUAAAGAAUUGAGACUAAUUAGGAGGCUUUUGUAAAAGUGAUGGAGGCCUGAGCUAGGGUGGUUGCUCUGUGAGUGGAAAGAAAGAGUAUAUAAGUAAAAGAUGUUCUGGGAAGAAGAAAGGACAAGAUUUGGAAAGUUAUUGGAUAUAUGGAGUGAUUAAGAUGGAAAAGUCAGGGCUGAAAUAAGGUUUAAAACCUGGCUGACUAGAAGGAUAUGGUACCCUAGUCAGAAAUAGUAAUAUUUCAAAUGGUCAAAGGAUAUAAACAGUUAUCAACAGAAGAAUUACAAACUAGAAAUAACUAUGAAAGAGUGCUCCACAGUACUACUAAUAAAAGAAAUGCAAAUCAAAACAAUCCCUAAAUCUGCCCUCAUUCCCAGCAAAUUGGCAAAGAUGCCAAAAGGUGAGAAUAUUCAAUAUCUAAGACGCUAUAGAAUACAGCCAACUUCAUGCAAUGUUAGUGGAACUAUGAAUUAGUGCAACCAUUAUGAAAAGCAAUUUGGGAUUAUGCAUAUGAAAUAGCUGAAAUCUCUACCCUCUUUGGCUUGGAGAUUUUACUGCUGGUCAAAUGCCCCAAGGAAGUUAUUGAGAAAAAGAAAGGCUCCAUAUACACCAAAAUAUUUAUAGAAGCAGUUUUUGUGGUAACAAAGAACUGGAAACCAAGAAGAUGCCCACUAACCAGGGAAUGGUAAAACAAAUUGUGGUAUCUGAAAGUAAUAGUUUAAUUACUAUGCCAUAAGAAAUAAUAUUAAUAAAGAGAAUUAUAGAAAGACUAACAUAAAAUGAUGCAAAAUGAAGUGUCAGGAAAACAAAAUAGAUUAUUUGCAUUAAUAAGAAUUUAGUUAUUACAUGAGAUAACUACAACACUUGUAAAUAGAUAGAAUAAUAAUCAAAACACAAUAAAAAUAAAUGUCGACAAUUAUAAAGAAAGGCAUGACCCUAAAGAAGAGGUAUGAAAAGCCAUUGUCUCCAUUCCUUUUUGAAUUUGGAAGCUUCAGGGGUGUGGAACAUCAUUGGAAAUGUUACAUUUUUUUUCUUACAUGUGUUGAUUGGAUUUAUUGAUUUUUUUUCUUUUCCUCCUUUUACUUUUCUUUUUUUUUUGUUAUUUGUUAUAAAGCAUAGCACUCUGGAAAUGUGAGGGAUGUAGGAGGGGAAUUUAGGUGAUGUUAAAACAAAAGAUCAAUAAUCAUCCACAAAAAAAGAAACAGAAAUGUUUGAGAGGGGAAUAUGUGAUUCUUAGUUGCCUAUGGGACAUCUAGGUUGAAAUGUCCAAUAAGUAAUUGAUGAUGUGGGAUAGGAACUUAGGCUAGAGGUGAAGAAUGAGCUCAUAGAUCUAGGAGUCAUCUGCAUAGAGAUGAUAAUUGAACCCAUAGGAGCUGAUGAGAUCUCUCUAAGAGAGAAAACGUAGAGAGAGAAGAGAGCACAGGACAGAGCCUUGGGGUAUACCCAGUUAUUAGAGGAAAAAAUUUAGAUGAUGACCCAGAGUAAAGAAGAGUGAUAAGAAGUAGCAUGUCAGGAGGACUGAGAGAAUAGUGUCAUGAAAAACUGAGUGAGGAAAAUAUAUUUAGAGAAGGUAGUCAACAGUCUCAAGAUUGCAAAGAGAUCAAGAAUAAUGAGUACUAUGCAAAGGCCAUUAGAUUUGUCAGUUAAAAGAUCAUUGAUAAUUUUGGAGAGAGUAGUUAUCAAGGAUGGAAAGGAGGGUAAUCUUGACUAUUUAUGGGCACAGAUAUGAGUUCUUUGUAUUUUUCUGUUGGGUUAAAUAAAGCCUGUCCUAUAUUUGAUAGGCUGUUAUCUUGAGUGUAGACAUGGGAGCUGAGGAAACUUUACCUUUUUCAUAAAGACCUAGACGUGAGCCAAAUUCUAUGGUCCCCAGGAGGGAACACUGACUAGAGCACAAGCCAGAGAGAGAAGACACCAUGACUAAACCAGGGCUAUAUAAAUCCAGAGCUCGGGUUUUAGCCUUGGGCUACAAAGACAAAGAGGAAGAUGUAAGUAGAGACAGACUCAUAAUAAAUGCAGCAAUAAAUACCUUAGGUAUGGAGAAGCUGGAAGAGGUGCAGGGGGCAAAGAAGAAGAGAAAUAAGAGAUACUAUUCAUGGAGGCCCUGAGAAAAAGAAAUAUAAGAAACUGAGAAUAGAUAGAAACAGCCAGAAGUUAGAGUGACAGAAAAAAUAUAUGAGUAUAAAGAGGCAGUCACAGGAUGACUAAGUUAUUUGGAAAUUGGCCUAGGCCUUUCUCUUUAAGAGAGAAAACCAAGUCAGUCUUUUAUCAACUCACCACCAGAUUUUAUUUCUCUUAUGUCACCUCCCCUAAAUUUUCACAUCUACCAAUCACAGUAGACGUUUUCCACAGGACUUAAUUCACAUCUUCUUUUGUUAAUCACCUUACCUGAGUAGACUAAAACUUCACACCUCUUGCUAAGCUUGCUCUUUGUAAGUUGCUUGACCUUUUAGUGAUUAAUUUGACCUUCAUAGGUACUUAGCACCCCUUUGUAUUAGAUCUAAAAAUAAACCUAGCUUAAGGUUCUAGCUUUACUAUAAGUAUGGAUGGGUUGGGGACUUUUUCUCAUUGUUCCAUCAGGAGUUUACAAUUUUAUCUUCCCCUAAAGUAUGCCUAAGUAUGGGUGGAGUAAUGUUAGAGUUCCCAAUACAUUCCUAAGUACCUUCAUUGUUUAAAAUGGGGAAUAGCCUUAACCAAAUGUUCCUAGGAAAUUUUAAGAUUCUCUCUCUCUCUCUCUCUCUCUCUCUCUCUCUCUCUCUCUCUCUCUCUCUCUCUUUCUCUCUCUCUCUCUCUCUCCCUCUCUCUCCCUCUCCUAUUUAUAGUCUGAGACUAUUACUCUAAAGCCUAUGGAUACACUUACCGAAGUAACUAGGAGAAGAGGACUAUUAUUCCCUCAUCUAGCCUAUCCAUUAAGGGAGAAGAGCAUGGUAUUCUCAUAACCUCUUUUACUCAGUGUUACAAGAAAUAGGUCAGGGGAGGAAGGAAUCAAGAAUACUACUUUGUCUAUUAGCUGGAUAAUGAAUGGUCUUCCCCCAUUUGGGCUGCUAUGUCUGUCCCUUCCCCCAAGAGAAGAAGAGAUUCCUCCACCUUUUCCUACCAUUUAAAUAACUAUUUCUAACUAUAUUAUUUUAGUUUUGCUUGAGCCCUAAGGGGUACCCCCCCAUCCUCACUCAUUCACACACCUGUGCACAUGCACACACAGGCACAAGAGUUUCUCUGUUCAGCUUAGAGUUUUAAAGGGAAAAUAGGAGUUUGCAGGUUGGAGAAGAGUCCUUUAUACUAGAGGUCAAUAUUAGAGGGAUGGACAAUGUAAGCCCACUUUAUUCCCAUACAGGAAUGGUCAGAAGAACCAAAUGUUUGAAAUUGUAGCUGCUCCACAGCCCUUCCAUGAUUAAUAUCCUCUUUUUAUUAAAUACAAAUUAAUCAAGAUGCAUUUACUAAGCUUACUAUAUGCUAGGCAUUGUGCUAAGCAAUAAGAUGCAAAGAAAGAUAAAAUUAAUCCCUUACCUCAAGGAGAUUACAGUCUAAUGGGGAGUCCAACCCCCCACCCCCAUCUCCACCCUUCUUCUAUCUAUUUAGUGAAGAUACGAGUUACUCUUUAUUUUUUUAAUUGUCUGAGUCUUAAAGGAACCUGGGGAUUCCAAGAGGCAGAGGUGAGAAGGGAGAACAUCCCAGGCAAAAGGGAGAGCCAGUGCAAAAGUAUGGCAAAAAGCAAUAGAGUUGGAUUCAAUAAAGUGUGUAAUGGAAAGUAAUAUAUAAGAAAUUAGAAAAGUAAGUUUUGAAGAGUUUUAAAUGCCAGAAUUUAUACGUGGUCCUAGAGGGAGCCACUAAUAUUUAUUUCAUUUGGAAGAUGAGUUGACAUGAUCAGACUAAUCGUUUUAGAAAAUCACUUUGGUAUUUAUGUGGCAGAUGGAUUAGAGUGGGAAUGUCUUAAAGCAAGGAGACCAAUUAGAAGACUAAAAUAAUAGCCCAGGGAAAAGGUGAUGGUGGCUACAUAAAUAGAGAAAGGAGUACAUGAGAAAUUCUGUGAAGGUUAAAAUGACAACUAAUUUGGCAACAACUACAAAAAAAAGGCAACUAAUUGGAUAUGUGAGAUAAGUAAAGAACUAAGGAUUGAUUGUCCCAGAUUUGUGAACCUAGAUGACUGAGAGAUUGGUGCUGCCCUUCAAAUAAUAGAGAACAUUAUUUAAUAUAAAUAAAAGAAUAAGUAAUACAAAGUUUGGAGGAAGGGAGGGGAAAGAUAGUGAAUUCAGUUCUAGACAGUUGAAUUUGAGAUGUCUAUGGGACAGCCAGGUUGAAAAGUUCAGUAAAGAGCUGGUGAUGUGGAAUGAGAACUGAAAAGAAAGACCAAGACUAGAUAUAUAGAUCUGGAAAUUAUCUGCAAAGAGAUGAUAAUUAAACCCAAGGGAAAUGUUGAAAUUAUCAAGUGAGGAAGUAUAUAGAGAAAAAGAGUCUAGGACAAAGUUUUGUGAGUAUCACCUAGAGGAAGAUUCAACAGAGAAGACUGAGAAUCAGCGAUCAGACAGUAGAAUUUAAGAGAGCAGUAUGAUCAAAAUCCAAAGUGGAGUGUCUAGGAGACGGAAGUGAUCAAUAGUGUUUAAUAUUCCAGUGAGGUCAAGAAGGAUGAGAAAUGAGAAAAGAUCAUUACAUUUGGCAAUUAAAAGAUCAUUAGUUGGAGAGAGCAGUUUCAGUUGAAUGAUGAGGUUGGAAGUUAGACUGCCUAGGGUUUAGAAGAGACUGAGAGAGGUAAAGGUAAACAACUUUUUCUAGAAGAUUGGAUGAGAAGUGGGGAAAUAUAGGCUAGUAGAUAUUAGGGAUGGUAGAAUAAAGUGAGAUUUUUUUUUUAAGUUGGAUGAGAUGUGGGUUUGUUUGUAUGGGUAGCAGAGAAGGAGCCAGGAGAUCAGGAGAGACUGCAGUAUAAAGUAUGGGCAUAACAACGAGGGGCAAUCAUUAGAGAAGAUGGAAAUGAAAACAAAUAUUGGGAAGCAGUUAGACGCUGGGAAUUGGGAUUUAGCAAGGAGUGAUUAGAGAUGGGGCAAAGAAUCUGAGAGCAGAGAACAGUGUAGAGUUGAAAUGGUUCACUAAAAGAGAUCAAGAUUGGGAAAGAAGGUGAGUGUAGUUAGGUAUGAUGGCCUGGGGAAAUAAUGAGCAGUUGAGGAACUAGAAUUCACAGUGAGGAAGAACUGAAUUAUAUGUGUGUCAAAAGGCAAAGGAAAAGAUGUAAUGAUAAAUGAUUUAUGAUCAAAUAAAUGAAUUUUUGAGCCCAAGAAAAUCAAAGUGGAGCAUUUGUGAUUGAUGUGAAUAUCAAGGGUAUGUGACCCUGAGUAUAGUUGAGAUAUAGAAGACUGGAUAUGGGAAUGGAGUUGAUUGAGGAACUGGGAAAUUAUGAUAUUAGAGGGCAACAUCAGUAUUCAUGCUUAAGUCCCCUAAUAUGAGGGCAAGAGUUGGGGUCAGAAAGUGAGGCUGGGUACUAGACUCAUUGAAGUAGGAGGGAGAAUGUCCUGGGUGAGGUAUAAGGGUUGGUAGAUUACAGCUACCAUGAUCUGAAUUGGGUGAUAGAUUUGAUAAUAUGAACCUUAAAAGAAGAGUGGUUGCUGGAUGAUGACGGUAGAGAAAAUAUGGAAAUGGCAGUGGGAACAAGGAGUAUUCCAACUAUCCUUUUGAAAAUAGUAAGUUGGAGGUAUGAGAGAAAGUGUAACUAGUACUUAAAGUGUGACCUGAAUCAAUGUCUUUAAGAGGGAGUUAGAUUGUCAGGGCUCAGUGAAUGACAGAAGAUUGAAGGAGUAAGAAAGAGAUUUAAAAUGAAAGAAAAAAUGAAAUUAUAAAAUGGGAAUUUAGAGACAAAGUUAAGAGGCAGACAGAUCUGGAUUGGGUAAUUGGUAGGGCAAGGUGGAUGGAAAUAAGAGAGUGGACAGCUGGUUGGGGAUUAUUAACUAUGGAGGAAUGAGUCCAAUAGAGUAUCAGUGGAUGGAAAGAGAUCUGUUGAGGGAAGCAGAUGAUUAGAAGGUUCAAGGUUGUCCUUUGAGGCCUGAUUUCAUGGUAAAUGGUAUUGUGUCCCGUGAGGUUUUGGGAGGACUGUUUCACAGCAGGCAGGAGCAGAAGGAGGUAAGUCACAAUGUGUCUGAGAGCCUGAUCAGGUGAUACAAGGGGAGGGUCUGGCACUGAGGUGCAUUUAGGGACCCCUGGAAGUCACUAGAGAGACAGAUAGGUUUACAGCACACAGACAUGGAGUAAGUUGGCUGGUAGCCAGUGGUACAGCUAUUGUGGUCCUGAUGUACAUGGCUAAAUUUUCUCAAGAGUUAUGGAGAAAGGACUCCAGUUUGCAAAACCUUAUUUCUCGAAAUUUUAUACUCUUUGGGCAGUUCUGGGGAGAAUGUCUCAGAAUCAUUCCCAGGCUCCUUGUUCCCACAUUAUCUACAUCCUUAUAUACAGACCACAUCAGCAUAUUCCCAUCCACAUUCCUAUAGUCUUGUUUUUUCAGCAGUUAUGGUAUUUGUUGUCCUUGUUGCCCUUGUUCUAUUCUGCCACAUUGUUACAGGUCCAGGGGCUUGGCAGGGUGAGAGAGGACCACUAUUCCAAGCAUCCAGGGAAUUAGGCAAGAGAUAUUGGCAGCCUUCUUGCCAAAGUCCCUCAAGCUUUGCUUGGCUAUAUCCUUGGCAGUGCCCAACUUUGCUCCAGGACUUUGGAAUACAAUAAGUCAGUAGGCGCCCAGGUGCCUCUCCCUCUGAUGCAUACCUGUUUUCCCCCUGUUCUACGGGGAUAUUCUGGGAAUAUCCAAGCCACAAAGUUGGGGGAGAGGGUUGGCCCCAAAUGAGAGAUCAUAUGCUCAUCUUUAUCUUCUCCUUCCUCCUCCCUCUGAAAGGAUGAAGCCCAGAGUUCUCUCUCCAUUCAUUUCCCUCUCCCUAGACAUUCCAAUCCACAAAACUAACCCUGUGUGCUCAGUGAAACAGAACAGGAAGUGGAUGGCCGGAGAAGGUCCAGGGCAGUGGGCUUCCAGCUCCAUCAGAGGGAUACCUCGGAGCUAAGCCAGCAUGAAAUAUUCAUGCAGUAAAUGGUGCAAUUUUGUCUGCAUUCAGCCAACUUCAUGUAUAUUUCAGUAUAUUAUGAAAUGAUAAUGUUGUGCAACAGAGGCAAGCUGGGCCAGGAAAGCCAGGGGGUAGGAGUGGAGCAUAAUGGGAGGGUAUGGGGUUAUGGUUGGGAUAGCGGUGAAGUGAAGGGUCCAGGGCUGUUCCCACCUUCCUACAUCUCUAAAGGCUCCAGGGGAGGGAUGACACAGGAUAGAUAUUGACAGGCCAGGCAUAGUUCCAUCCUUUAACCUCUAGAACUCUGAGUUGGUUACUACCUCCCCAACCCCCACUUCUAGCAGCACCAAAGGCACAGGCUGAGAUGUACUCCCUAUUACUAAUGUAUGAAGGGAGUAUUGGCUGUUCCUGCACACAUGCUCUGGCUGCUUCUGCUUUCUUCUAUAAUCUUCUCUGUCUCCGGUUUCAGACGAUAGUCUUUCUGAGGGCUGGUGCCGAUUCAGCAUUGGUCUUCCUCUCCAGUCUCUCAGAAGACCUGCUAACUCCUGUUGAUUGACAGCUGCUCCUGGCGCAAGAUGCCCCAAAUCAAGUCGCAUUUCUUCCUUGGCUCAGUGAACAGGAGGGGACCACCUCUUUACUUAUCUCUCCCCCAUCCCCUAAUCUGUCUCUAACUGUUUUAAUUUCAUUUUAAUUUUUCUUUUUUUUUCAUGGCCAGAUUUAGACUUUACUUAAGUCUUCAAAUGUGUGAUAGGCACUGGUGAUACAAAGAUAAAAACAAAUAGUUCUUGAUCUCUAGGAGCUUAUUAUGUUCUGUAGGAUGGGGACACAACAUGUACACAGACAAGCAAAUAAAAAUAUCUCCUCUUCCACUAGUUCCCUGAUGGGGAAAUUCCCUGCACUAAUGAAGAUCUGCAAUCAUUCUUCAGAAUACAGUCUUGGAGUGGGUAUACUAAGAGAUUGAGUGACUUGCUCAGGGUCGUACAAGCCAGUAUGUAUCAGAUGCAGAAUUCAAACUCAAGCUUUUCUGUCUCUGAAACCUCUCCACAAAUACGAAAUAUAAUAAAAAUAAAUAGAAAGUAAUUGGGUAGGGUGGGGAGCAGGACUGAUUCCUGAGGAUAAGCAGGACAGGUCUUUUGUUGAAAGUAGUACUUCAGCUGAGAUUUCCAAGAGGUAGGGAAGUCUAGCAGUAAGGAAUUUGGUGGUGGUUCCUUCCUUUGAAAAAAUAAUUGCUCCCCCCCUCCCCCGCCAUGCAUAGGGAGGGAGAGUUCCACUUUUGGUUUUACCAUCAAAUUCCUAAAACACUAGGUUUGGAAUUCAGCUGCAGUGGUGACAAUAGUCAGGAGCUCUGACUUCAAAUUCUGGUCACCUACCUUUAUGAUCCUGGUGGGUAACUCCAUAUCUCUCUGGGUCCCAUUUUCCCCCAUUUGUAAUAUGACUAGAUAAUCCUUAAGAUAAUAAUAGUUAAUACUUAUAUGGUGCUUUAUAUACUUUUAUGAAAGUUUAUAUCAUAUUAUCUCAUUUAAUUCCCCACCUUUUACAUAUGAGGAAAUUUGCCCAGGGCCAUACAUCUAAUAAAAUGUGGCCAGUAAGGUAGGAUUUAAAAUCGUCUUUUUUUUUUUUAAUUAAAUAAAUAAAUAAAAAAAUUAAAAUUAAAAAAAAAACAAAAAAAACCCUUGCCUUCUGUUUUAGUAUGGGUUCCAAGACAGAAAAUCAGUAAGGGUGAGGCAACUUCAGUUAAGUGACUAGCUGGAAUAACACACCUAGGAAGUAUCUGAGGCCACAUUUGAACCCAGGACCUCCUGCCUCUGGCCCUGGCUCUCUUUCUACUGUGCUUACCUAGCUGCCCCUCAAGGCUUCCUAUCCCCAAGCACAGUAUUCUUCCCACUGUGCAAUCUUUUGUUGUUGAAUCAGUUUCGGUUGUGUCUGAUCCCUUUUGAGGUUUUCUUGGCAGAGAUACUGGAGUGGUUUGCCAUUUUCACUCCAGCUCAUUUUCCAGAUGAGAAAAUCGAGGCAAAUAGGGUUAAGGGAUUUGCCCAAGGUCACAUAGUUAGUAAGUGUCUGGGGCUGGAUUUGAACUCAGGUCUUCCUGACUCCAGCCAGAUCCACUGUACCACUUGCUUGUUUCUGAAAUCUUUUAACCAUCAGAACAUCUCUGAGUAAGCGGGGUAGCAUAUACUUCCUCAAUUUCUCAUGCGGCAAGGUGCCUGGCUCUCUUUUUGAGUUGCUCUGAAUUUGUGAUUCCUACCUAGCUGAAACAUUACCUGCCUAUUUAGUGUAUAUAUAGCCCCCAUAUUCCUUCUUCCUCUACCUCUUAGAUAUUUUGGGUCUCAAUCUUCUGUUGCUCAUUCUUUUGUGACAUAGCUUCUCUGCUCCCAUCCUUUUAAUGCCUGGACAAUGGGAUCCUCCAGCCCUUGUAUUAUUUGGAGUGGGGUGAAUUACAUACAUGUAAAUAUGUAUAUAUUUCUUGCCAGGGUCUGUGAUUUCACUGGUACAAGGAGAAAACUCCUUUUACUGAUGAAGAUCUGCACUUGUUCUGCCAAAUAUAGUCUUGGAGGCAAAUAAAUAGUGCCUAAUUGUGAAAAUAUAAUGUCCAACUUCCCUUAGUGGAUAGUAGAUGAAAACGAAGAACCAUUUGCCUGAGAUCCUGCUUCUCCUACUAAGCCAGUGCUCCUUUCCCUACCAUAGUCCAGGCUUCCCCAGAAUCCUGAGUUGGGUCUGUUAUUGCCGUCUUGUUGCUUCCUACGAAUGGGGGUGGUGCUGGUGUUGUGUAAGAGCUCUGUUCAAGCAAUCCUGGGGAUUUGGCUGGGGUCUAGGACAACAUCAGCCUACCAAAUAACUACCACACACAUUCUCAUUUGUUCUCUCUUUGUCUCUCUCUCUGUCUCUCUCUCUCCUCUCAUUUUCUGUCUAAAUACCAAUACUAUUGGUUCUAAGGCAGAAGAGAGGUACGGUCUAGGCAACUGGGGUUAAGUGACUUGUCCAGGGUCAUACACCUAGGAAAUGUAAGGUUAGAUUUGAAACUAGGACCUCCCUUCUCCAGACAUGACUCUCUAUCCACUGAACCUUCUAGCUGCCCCUCACCUCCCAAAUAACAAUAUUAAGUAUACAAAAAGCAAUGAAUUUGGAGUUAGAGGACUUGGUUUGACUACCAGCUAUGCUAUUUAUGACUUAUAUGAUAUUUGGGGAAGUCCCUUCUUACCUCUGGGUAAGGAAACCUGAAUUUCCUUAUCAGUAUAAUGAAGAGGUAAGGCUAUAUAAUUUCUAAUAUCUUUUCCAUUUGCAAUUCUUGUUUUUGCUUUUAUUUUUUAGGAAACUUUUAGAAGAUCCAGAACCUAUAUGAUAUCCCUAGGCUCCUGGAGUGGGAGUGGCUGGGAGACAAUAUCACCUACCAUAAAUGACACCUUCCCCCCAAACUGCUAAUGGGAAGAGAUCCUUCUGAGGGUGUCCCAGAGAGAUAACAAGUCAAACACUAGGCCACUCUUAAAGCUGCAGUGAGCAUUAUUGUUCUGGUCGUGUCUGGUUCUAUACUGCUCACAGGGUUGAGAAAAGCUUUCAUUGCUGGAAAAAACACAGUGUCUGUCUGCAGCUUUACCUGGCCUGUGUCCUACUUCAGGUACUGUUUGAUUGGAUGCAGUCAGGGAAGCUGGAAGCAAGUGACCCAAGCUGGUGCAAGUGUUUCGAAUAGAGGUGAUCUAUCUAUGGUGCAUCACUAAAUGCCACCUGAGGCUGCUGGCAAUGGCUCUUUUCCAUUCUCUACCAUUUGUGCCCAUUCAUUCUUCUCUUUCUUGUUCUUUCUUUCUGUCUCUCUGUCUUCUCUCUCCUCAUUCCUCCAGCCCCAAUCUCAUCUUACAGUAUGAGCUUUUCUCUCUUCCAGUUUUCAUUCUGCCUAUGGCUUAAGUCUGACUACAUGACCAAGCGUUUCUUGGCUGCUAGAGAUCUUCCAACUUAAAACAUGCUUGAAUUUGGCCUAGAGUCUUUCUUUUUGCUAUAUAGGCGAGGACAAGAGUCUGGCUGAACCUGCUUUGUCUUUGUUCCCUGAUGCAGUUUGAGUGCUUCCUCAUCCCCCUUGCUCUCAGUAUGGAAUCAUCUUGGAGAAAGUCACAGCCACCGGGGACUAAUUAGAGGACUCACCAAUACCCCCUUAGCAAAGGGCUAGGGCACAUCCAUGGGAGGUGUCCUUGCCAACAUAUGUCCAUGCUCUAUAAAAAUUCACCAAGUCAAAUAGAUUAGAGCCUCUCCUAAUCAGGACCAUUAAACUCUCCCUUCUACCAUUAAAUAUUUGUUAUCCUGACAAAUCAAAUUGAGAUAAUUCUAAACUCAUUGGUUCAUAAUAGUUCUCUGAGGACCUGAGGAGGGUCAAGCAUCAACUUAAAAUUUUUUUUAAUUUAAAUUUUUUUAAUACUUUUAUUCAAAGAUAUUUUGUUUUCCCAAUUAUAUAAUAUCAAUUUUCAACAUGUUUUCCAAAAUUAUAAGAUCUAAAUUGUCUUCCUCUCUUCCUCCCCUACUAGCUCAGAGAUGGUAUGCAAUUUGAUCUGGGUUAUACAUGUAUUAUCAUGCAGAACAUACUUCAAUAUUGGUCAUUGUUGUAAGAGAAUUCUCACAUAAAGUCAUAAUUCCAAAAUAAAACCAUAAGUAAACUAAAGUAAAAAAUAGUAUGCUUUGAUCUGCAUCUAACUCCAACAGUUCUUUCUCUUGCUUUUUCUGAAAUCAUCCUGCUUAUCAUUUCUUAUGGCACAAUAGUAUUCCAUCACCACUAUAUACCACAAUCUGUUCAGCCAUUCCCCAAAUGAUGGAUAUCCCCUCAAUUUCUAAUUCUUUUCCACCACGAAAAGAAUUGUUAGAAAUAUUUUUGUGCAUGUAGGUCCUUUCCCUUUCUUUGUGAUCUUUUUGGUAUACAGACCCAGUAGUGGUAUUACAGGAUCAAAGGAAAGGGUAUGCACAUUUUUAUAUCUCUUUGGGUGUAGUUCAAAAUUGCCUUCUAGAGUGGUUGGAUCAGUUCACAACUCCACCAACAAUGCAUUAGUGUCCCAAUUUUGCGAAUGUAGCACGAUUCUUGAUUGCCUCUUGAGUUUCAUGCCCUGAGUAAUAGAAAGAUCCAUGCAGCACAGUUCUUAGAUGCUUCAGAAUUCAAGAACUAUCACAGCUUGUUAGGCUGGAGAUUAUACUCAAAUACAUAAUCAUAAAAAUUCAACUGGCUAAAAAACCAAAUUGACAAAGUUCAGCUUCAUGUCCUACCCAUCUUGUAAAUAAACUUUUUAUUUGCUAAGGAAUUAAUUGGCCACAACUAAAAUUUUUCUUUUAAUCUUUUUCUGUUCUCAAUACCCCCAAGGAUGAUGUAUUUUUUUGACCCCAAAUAGUCCUCAACACAGUCUCUUGCAAAACUCAAAGAAAAAAAGUAAAGAACAUUUUGCUUAUUUGAGGUUCACAGACUGAUUUCUCUUGGGCAGUGGGGUUAGUAUUAAUAUUGUAGCUGUGGCUAAGUGUUUGAAAGGCUCUACAUAGUUACUAAGAUUUUCUAGGUGUAAGGUCAGAAGAAUCAGAAGUCAACCUGGGUGGAGGGGAAGGAAAAAACCUUUUUUAUGAGAGACAGAAGAGGGAUAAAAUUUCUCAAUGACAGGGGCCCAUGUGCCAGAGCAUUCCUUUCUUCAUUCAUUUAUGGAAUCAUAAAAUCUUAAUGAUAGGAGGGAUCUUAGAGAAAAUCUUCCCCCAGAGAACAUCCUAGUCAGUGUAAGGAUGUCCUUUAUGAUCUUCCUCAUAAGGACCAAUAUGGGUCCCUGUCUUAGAUACUUUUUCAUGAGAUUUUCCACUCAAAUCUCAAUGCUGUGUUUCUGUGUCCAAACUCCUACCUUAGUAACUGUGCCUAGGAUUCUACCACUAUUUAUGUAACCUUAGGCAAGUCACUUAAUAGACUGAAGGAAAAAGUACCUAUUACUUAUUUCAGGUCAAGCCCUUUGCUAAGUAAGCGCUAGGAAAACAAACAGGAAAAAGAAUUUUCAUGAGACUUCCUUUUCCUUGUUCCCCUCCUACACUGAUGACCUCUGCUUCUUAGUUCCUUUUGCUGGUAUAUCCCACUGUACUCUUUGGGGUCUCUUCUCUUUACUUGAGAUUCACUCUUAUUGAUCUCAUCAGUUCAAAUGAAAUCAAUUAUUAUUAUCUCCUUGCCCAUGACUCCCAGAUCUACAGAAAUCACUAAUUUCCACAGGGCCAGUUCUUCUUCACCAGCUGCUACCUGGAUGUCCAAAAGACAUCUUAAACUGGACCUGUCCCAAAGUAGAAAAUAGAUUCUUUCUCUCUAAUUUCUCUGGUUCUGUUGAGGAAACUACUAUCCAGCAACCCAGGUUCACAAUAUAGGAACCAACCUCAACUCCUGCUACCUCACUAUUUGUCAAAUCUUUAUUUGCUACAACAUCUCACAUUUAGCUCCUUAUUUCCACUCACAAUGCUAUCAACUUAAUUCAGGCCUGUGUUGCCUUUCCCCUGGAUUACUGCAAUACAUAGCAAUUAUUAAUUGGACUUGCUGAUUCCAACCUCCUCUCUCUCUAAUUGAACCUCUAUACAGCUACUAAAUAGAUAUUCUGAAAGCAAAAGUCUAACCAUGUCACUCUUUAAGAAAUUUCAGUGGCUCCCUAUUGCCUUUAUGAUAAAAUACCAAUUUCUGUUUCUGGCAUUCAGAAUCCUUCUAGCCUGUUCCAACUUAUCAUUACAAACUGACUUCAUAUUAUUAUACACUUCAUGUUCCAGCUAAACUAGAUGCUGCCUGCUUUCCUUUGUUCACAACAUUUCAUCCCUUCUUUUGUACCUUUGUAUAUAUACUGCCCUCCAUGUCUGAAAUGCUUCUCCCUACAUUUCUACUUUGUUAAAUUCCUAACUACUUCUACAUAAGGCUCUUCUUGAUCCCACUACCUCAAGUUAUUUGUGCUCCCUUCCCGGGAAAUCACUUCAUAUUUAGUUUGUAAAAAGUUUGUAUUUUCAUUUCUAUAUGUGUUAUUUAACUUUAGUAGAAUAGAGUUUCAUCUUUAUCUUAGUCUCAAACCCUUUGCUUGACUUGAGAGUAAUUGGUGACAGACUGUAGGAAAAAGUACUUAUUACUUAUUUACUUCAGGCCAAGUUCUAUACUAAGCACUAGGAAAACAAAUAGGAAAAAGACGUGAUCCCCAUUCUCAAGGAGUCAAUACAUAAUGUAGGAUUCCAGUUCAUAUUUACUUAAAUUCCCUUGACCUCAGGAAGAUGAACAAAGUGGAAGAGAUUGUCUCUAAAAAUGUACUUUUUAGCCUGAAAUUGUAUGACCUUCCUUUUGUUGUUUCUUCUACAAACUGGAUCUCUGUUCUAUCCCCAGACCCUGUGGUUGAGUCCCAGCAUGCUCAAAAGGAAUUCCUUCUACUUUUGUCUCAUAUAAGUAGAGACUUGCAAGGGACUUCAGUGAUAGGACCUCAUUGUCUUCUAGUUCAUUCCACUUAAGCAUAACUUUCAUUUUUUGGAAGUUUUUCCUAUUCUGGAAAUCUGCCUCUGCAAAUUUAACUAUCAUCCCUAUCCUCAGUUGUGCUCUGUGGAGCCUAGAACAAUUUAAAACUUUUUUUCCAUCUGACAGCUCAACCUCCCUGAUGACUCAAAUCCCAUUUCAGUUUUUCUUCUAGGACCUUCCAAAGAAGAUUCUUUGCCCCACUGUGGCACAUUUGUUUCAUCUCAAAGUCUUAGCCAUCCUUGGUCUUCUGCCAAACUCCCCCAAUGACAAGUUUUAUUCCCUCUUCUAGAAGAAAACUCCUUUUCAAUAUUUGAGGACAGUUAUCAACUGCCCCCCCCCUCUCAUUUUUCCAGGCUAAAUAUUUAUAGUUCCUUCAAUGAUUUAUUUAUUAGAACCCUUACUUUUUGUCUUAGUAACAACUCUAAGGCAGAAGGGCAAAGGCUAGGCAAACAGGGUCAAGUGACUUGCCCAGGUCACACAGCUAGGAAGUGUUUGUGGCCAGAGUUGAACCCAAGUUCUCUUGACUCUAGGCCUGGUGCUCUAUCCAUGUGCUACCUAGCCGCUCUUCAAUUCUUUAUAUGAUAUGAUUUCUAGAAUCCUUAUUAUUGUGGUCACCUUCCUUUGGAUAAUUUUUUGGGGGCCUUAAUUUGCCAUUUCAUUCUCUAUGGGGAACUCUUAGCAUAAAACUCUAUUAAUGAAGGCUAAAAACAUAUGUAACUAUAGACUUAGAGGAUUGACUAGAGGCUUGAGAUGUUAAAUAAUAUAUCUAGGUCUUCCCAGCAAAUAUGUGUAUAAGGAAAGACUUAAAUGCACAUCUUCUUGUCUCUGUGCCUAGUCCUCUGCCAUGCUUUGUUUGUUGAUAUCCCUGUUAAAAUAUGGUACCCACACCUGAAUCUAGAUGAAAUCUAACAAGGGCACCUAAAACACUCACAGUCAUGCAGAGAGCAGAGAAAAGAGCUCAAAAAUACUCCAGGCUACAUUCCAAAAAGCAGGGUAGGUGGAAAAAGUGCUAAAUCUGGAAUUAGGAAGCCUGGGAUCAACUGUUGGCCUUUAAGUCACUUUGUCUCUCUGGGUCUCAGUUUUUUCAUCUGAAAAAAAAUUAGGGUAAUAAUAGUUAUUCUCCCUAUCUCACAAAGUUCUUAUGAAAAAAGUACUUUGUAAACUUACCAUCAUUAGCAUGAGUAUCACCAUUAAAUUAUUCUAACCCAGGGUGGUCUAAGCAAUGCCCACUAGUGCUGGUAAGUGCCAACAGAGUAAAGAACAAAGGAGGAUAGUGGGGAAAGGACAGGAAAUAUCAAGGAGUAGGAGCAGAAUCUAGGGAAAAGAUAAAGGAAAGAAAAGCACAUGUAGCAAGAAAUAAGAGAAAAAAAUUUAACAAUUGUUUCAGAAGUGGAGCCAACUGGGUCCCCAAGUCUUAGAGGGCUCCUCAUUAUUAGGAGCUAGAGACAGGCCAUUGGAAAUGAAUCAGGAAGUCAAAAAGUUCUAAAUAAGAGGGAGAAUGUUCCUACUAUCUGGUAUAAAAAAAUGACUUGAAUCUUAUUUACAUACACAGCCCCUCUAUCCAUCCCCAAGUCAAAUAGAUAGUCUUGCUUCUCCCUUUAGCUUACUCCUCAGGUUGUAUGUUUACCCUUUAGGACUUCCUUUUUGCCUUGAAGCUGUCCUAAUUGUUUAUUUUAUUUUACUUUACUUUUUUAUUUGAGGCCAGCAGGGUUAAGUGAUUUGUCCAGGGUCACGCAGUUAGUAAGUGUCUGAGACCAGAUUUGAACUUCUUGACUUCUUCCUGACCUUAAGGCCAGUGCUCUAUCUACUGUCACCUAGCUGCUCCUAAUUGCUCAUUUUAACUGAGAAUCCAAAAUUUCAAUAUUCCAAUGGACCUGUUAUCUUAUAGAUACAUGUAUUUUCUCCAGCUAUGCAGAUGAAAAUCUGUUAGUGCAGGAACACAUUUUUGUGACUCUUGACCAUGUCCUCUUACAUAUAAGCCACAGGAGCCCACUCAACUUUCUGGGUCUACUCCUCUUGUUUUAUUGACAUUAAAUGGAUAAGAGUAGGAGUGUACUGAGUCAAAGAAACAAUCACCCCAUCCUACUUAAAGUAACUAACAAGAUAUUCAUAAUAUCUUUAUCAGGUGAGAAAAACUUUAUUGAACCAAUUGAAGGCACUAAACUAAUAUGCACUAUCAUUCCCUGGAUAUCUUUUUAUAAAAUAACAAAUCAGUUUAGAACCCUGCAUUAUUGAGACAUUCAGCAACCUAGAGUGUCCUUCUGGGUGAAGAGAGAAAAGGAGUUUCUGCCUCAUCUUCCUUCCUCCAUCCUUGACAAGAGCAUGGUCAAAAAUUUUGUAUUUCUCAUUGGCAACCCGUGUCCCUGAAAUGGCACUGUAUGGGAGGUAGCACUGUCUGCACAGAGAGCCAACAACAGAUUCAACACAUUGAGGAAAGGCAGCUAUAGGAUUCUAUAAAAAGCCAAACAAUUAUACCAUACCUGUGGGGAACAUUGUGGGAAGUGUACAAAGGGAGAAAAGGACUUCUGGCAAUCAGAAGAUGUAUGUUACUCCCUUCUUCUCUUAAGCACAUGAACUAGUCUACCCUGGUUUCUCCCAGAUUUUGCAUUUACUUUUUGGAAAGUUCAAAGGAAUUCUUUGUACCAACUGUUCUUACUACCCGGGCCUAGGAAAUAUCUAUUUCUAAAAGCUGAUUAAGUUUCUCUGGCUAAUUAAUAUCAUAUAUAUGAUUUAAUGGGAAUACAUUGUUUGGGGUUAGAAAUCUCCUAAAGGGACAGUGUAUGUGCAGUGGAUUGAGAGCCUUCAGUGGAUUGGGAGCCAGGCCUAGAGAUGGGAGGUCCUGAGUUAAAAUCUGGCAGUCUCAGCCUUUAUUGCUCUUAUGGCUUGGAACCAAUAUACAGUAUUUAUUCCAAGAUGGAAAGGGUUAGAAAUGUUUCUCAUAUCCCCCUCUGUUAAUAUUAGAAAUCUUAAGAGAGAAGAAAAUAAUUCUAUCCAUAGGCAGCCUUUGGGGAGUAAAGAUGAAAAUAAUUAAUAUUAAUAAUAAUUUGCAUUCAUAUAGCACCUACUAUGUGUCAAGCACUGUGCUAAUGCUUUACAAAACUGUUUCUAGGUCUUUCUUUUACAAUUAUUAUACAUUUUAUUCCUUAUAACAACCCUGGGAAGUAGGUACAUUUAUUUUCUCUAUUUUACAGUUGAGGAUACAAUCGAUCAGUGGCUAAGUGACUUGCCAAAGGAUACACAGAUAGUGAAUUUUUGAGGCCAGAUUUUAACUCAAGUCUUCCCAACUCCAGGCCCAGCUAAUCUAUCUUACUGGUGAGAUUUGGGGUUGGGAAUAUGUGUUAUACAUGAAGCUAAUGCUGACACCUGGGCAUUCAUCAGUUAUUCAUCUUACCCAUAAUUACUGUUCCCAGUUCUAUACUCUAGGGGUCAAGGAGUUUUCUCCCCAGCCAUUCAUUAUUCUCUGAAUAUCAUGACUUGCAAAUCACUUUCAAUGCCACCAGAAGACUACUUUAUUUUUAAAAAAUCUUAGGGGGCAGCUGGGUAGCUCAGUGGAUUGAGAGCUAGACCUAGAGAUGGGAGGUCCUAGGUUCAAAUCUGGCCUCAGACACUUCCCAGCUGUGUGACCCUGGGCAAGUCACUUGACCCCCAUUGCCUAGCCCUUACCACUCUUCUGCCUUGGAGCCAAUACACAGUAUUGACUCCAAGAGGAAAGGUAAAGGUUUAUUUUUUUUAAAAAUCUUAGCUUUUAUUUUGGGGAAAUGCAUGGAGUAAUGAAAAGAACUGUACAACUUCCCAAAAGAACUGUACAGUCCACUUCAAUCUGCUCCCUUUAUGUAAUUUAGCAAGUUAAUUUUCUGUUUUCAAUGUCUGUCUAAGAUGUAUCUUAUUAAUUAAUGAUAUUUAUAGAACAGCCAUUCAAUUGCAUACCACAUCGUAGGCAAUAAAUUUUUUUCAUCCAUUUGUUUUUUCUUGUGUGGAUAGGCCAAACUCAAUGGUCUGAUUUGUAGAAAUGUUCAAGUUGAUGCACAAUGUGAUUUUCUCUAGAAGCUGAAUUCCAUAAGUGACAAUCUUGUUCAGGUAUAAACACAAUACUAACAACCCCCCCAUUUUAUAUAGCACUUCACUUAUAAAAUGUCUUCUUUACAAAAAUUUUGUGAAAUAGGCAGAGUAGAUAUAAUUAUCUCCAUGUUAUAGCUGAGAAACCCCAAAACUCAGAGAGGUGACAGGAUUUGCUCAUGAUCACACAGCUAACAACUGUUGGAUUUGAUAUUUGUGUUUCAAUUUUCUGGCUCUAGGUACAGUGUGCUCUCCUUUCUAUGUACCAUCCUACCCUAACUCCCAUUCCAAAAUAGCAAAAUCUUUUCAUUCAAAGAUAGGAAUAAUUAGCUAAAUUUGAACAUAAGUUUUACUAUGUUAUUUGGCAAAUAAUGGGACAAGUUAUCUGAAGUAUUGAUUGGAAGCCAGGAAGUCUUUAGUCCUAAUUAUCAUCAGCUACUAAUGUUGAGAAAGAAAGUGCCCAAUGUCAGAGAGUAUAAAAGGUAGAUCCAAGGAGUUGCAAAUUGAUCCAACCAUUCUAGAAAGCAAUUUGGAACUAUGUCCAAAGGGCUAUAAAACCAUGCAUACAUACCCUUUGACCCAGCAAUAUGACUAUUAGGUCUAUAUCCCAAAGAGAUAUUUUAAAAAGCUAAAGGACUUAUGUGUACAAAAAUAUUUAUAGCAGCUCUUUUUAUGGUGGCAAAGAAUAGGAAAAAUGAGAGGAUGCCUGCCAAUUGAGGAUUGAUUGAACACAUUUUUGUAGUAUAUGAUUAUGAUGGAAUGAAUGAGAAAUGACAAGUGCAAUGGUUUCAGAAAAACCUGGGAAUGCCUACAUGAACUGAUGAAAAGUGAAAUGAGUGGAACUAGGACAACAUUAUAUACAAUAAUACUGUUUUAUGAUGAUCAACUGUAAAUGACUUAAUUAUUUUUAGCAAUACAAUGAUUUAAGACAAUUCCAAAGGACUUGGGAUAAAAAAAUGCUCUUCACCUCCAGAGGAAAAAAUUGAUGGAGUCUAAAUGCAGAUCAAAGCAUACUUUUAAAAACUUACUUUCUUUUUUUUGGGGGGGUCUGUUUCUUUUGCAAUAUAGCUAAUAAGGAGAUGUGUGACUGCAUUUAUAUGGUAUAUAUCAAAUUGCUUGUCUUCUCAAUGAAUGAGAUAGGAAAGAGAAAUAGGAAAUUAGAUAGGAAAUAGGAAAUAGAUAGGAAAUGAGAAGGAAAGCAAGAAUUUGGAACUAAAAGUUUUGAAGAACAAAUGUUAAAAAUUGUUUAACAUGUAAUUGGGGAAAAAAAGAAGGUAAAACCAAGAAUCAAACCCAACUCUUUUGAUUGGAUUCAAAGAAAGGAUACGUUAGAUGCUAUAAUCUAAAAUUCUAUAGAGGUAGUCACUACAAGAAAGAAAGAAAUUCUUUCUUAAGGAAAAAUUGCUGAAGCUACACACAGAAACCAUUCUGAUGAGAAAGGAAAGGAGAAACUGUCGAAAGAGAGGAGAGGGGAUUCUUCUACCAACUUAGUUAAAAAAAUAUUGUAUAGAAGAUGUAAGCAAGGUCAAAUAAAGGAAAAUGAAUACAAAAGAGUGACACAAUCUUUUAAUAAUAGUGUCAAGAGGACUAAAGAAUAGAUUGAACUAAGCUCAGUGAUUAGUGCUAAAGAAAAUAUAAAGGCCCCUUUUAUCUAUGUUGGGCAAGGGGGAAAGGGAAGAAAGAAUAAAGACUGCUGCUAGGGUGGAUGAAAUGGCUUCAAUUCAACAAACAUUUGUUAAGUCCAUACUAUGUGCAAUGCAUAGGGAUAUAAAGACAAAAUGGAAAUGUCUCUCUUCUCAUGGAACUCACAUUCUACUGAGAGGGAAUACCAUAUUUGCAUCAGAUAUUAAAGUGCAAUACAAUUUGAGAAGAGGGAGACAGUACUAAGGGGAUAAGGAAAAGCUUCCUAUAGGAGAUGGCAAUUGAUCUGAGGUUUCUAAGAAAGCUAAAUAUUGUAAGAGGAAGAAAUGUAGAAGAAACAUAUUAUAGUCCUGUUCCAAGACAUAGAAGUAAAAGGAGAUGGGAUGCUUCGUUCAGUAAUGUAGAACAGUUGAUCUGAAGAGAGAUAAUAAAAAUAAGUAUGGAAAAGCUGGAGAUAUAGUUAGAAUUUGAAGGACUUUAAGUACCACUCUGAGGAGUUUGUGUUUUAUCUCAGAGGCAAUAGAGAGACCCUGAAGAUUCUUGAAUAGGAGAACAGCAUAUUCAGACAUGAUUUAGGAAGAUUAUUUAGCCAGCUGUAUGAAGGAUGGAUUAGAGAGGAAGGAGAGAUGAGAAGCAGCAAGACCGAUUAGGAGACUACUUCAGUAAUCCAAGCAAGCAGUACAAAGAGCCUAAACUAGGACUGUGACCACCCUCAAAUGGUGAAUGGAGAGAAGGGGACAGAAGUGAGUGAUAUUGUUCAGGGAGAAUUAGUAAGACUUGGUAAUUUAUGGAUAUAGUGUGUAUGAAAGUGAGUGAAAAGUGAAGAAUGAGUUCACUUGAAGCAUAAUAGAUUUUGCCCCAGCAUCUUAUUUUAACUCUGUAUGGAUAUUUAUGCUUAAAAUAUAUAUGUUAUGAAUAAGACACUGAAUAUAUUUUGUAUGACUUCAAAUAUAUAAUUGAUAUAAAAUUUCUUGCCUUCUUUAAGAGGGGAGGGAUGGGAGAAAGAAGUGAAUUUGGAACUAAAAAUUUUAAAAAUGAUUGUUAAAAAUUUAUAUACAAUUAUGAAAUAUCUAAUGAAAUACAUAAAAAUGAUAAAAACAAAAAACAAAACAACAUAUUGUUAGAUUUUACUUUCUAAUCCAUUCUUCUUUCCUCUUCUGUUUCAUAGGUGAGUUUAUGCCAUUCACAGUCAUCGAUAUGAUUGUUAAUUAUGUAUUUUCUUCUAUCUUUUCUCUUAUCCAUUUUUUAUCUUUUUGCCCAAACAUAUUCCACUCUUUACAAAGAAGAAAGUAGUGAAAGGGAAAUGAGCUUAAAACUAGUGACCUACUACCGAAGUGCUGUUUCUACCUCUCUUUGCUUCCCCUUGCUCUAUCCCAGAUCAUAAAUUUUUAUUCUUUCUUUAUUCUUUUUUAAUGUUCCUGUCAUGGUCUACCCUCUCAUGCUGGAAUUUGUUUUGCUUAUGAAUAAUCCCUCACUGGAAAGGUUAAGAUGAUAUUGAAGGUAAAAACAUGGGUGACUGAAAGAAUGGUGGUAUCUCCAAUGGAAUUAGGGACAUUUUGGUUAAGGAGAAGGCUUGAAGGUGGGACAAAAUAAUGAGAUCCCCUUAGAGUUUGAGGUAUAUAAGGAACAUCCAGUUAGAGCUAUCCAAUAGGCAGUUAGCAAUGCAGGCCUGAACCUGAGGAAAUAUAUUAGAGAUGAAUAUUUAGAUGUGGGGAUUCCUUUGUAUAGAGAUGGUAAUUUGACUCUGUAGGAGCUGAUGAAGUAAUUGAGAACAGGUAUAAAGAAAAAAUUGACAAGGACCCAGGACCAACACCUACAUUUAAAGUAUGAUGAUCCAGCAAAAGAGUCUGAGAAGGAGAGGCCAGUCAGGUUCAAGAGAGUUGUCAUAAAAGCCAAGGGAAGGAAAAAAUAUGCAGGAGCAAGCCUGUAACAAAUUUUGCAGAAAGAUAAAGCAGAAGAAAGACUGAGAAAAGGAUAUAAGAUAUGGCAAUUAAGAAAUUAUCUCCCCCUUUGAAAGAAUGUUUUUAGUAGAGCGGAGGGAUCAGAAGCCAUGUUGAUUGAGGAGUAAAGAAAUGGAGAAAGUGUAGAUAGAAUUUGGCUGAUAAAGGGAAGAAAACUAUAAGACAAUAGUUUGUGGUUAAUGGCAGGGUGACAUGAAGAUUACUUUAUUUUGGAGGAGACUUGAGCAGGUAUGUAUGUGGCAGUGAAGGAGCUAGUAGAUAAAGAAAGAUUGGAGAGAAGAAGAGGAUGAUCAAAAGCUCCUAGAGGAGACAGGACAAGAUGAUUAAGGACACAAAUAGAAGAUUGGCUUUGCCAAUGAGUAGAAUCACCUAUUUUUCAGAUAUUUGGUAUACAGUAAAGGAGAGGACUAAAGAUGAAUAAUUUUUAUUUUCUCAACAGAUUAGGAGACAGAGUUCUAUGCUUAGAAGGAGUGGAAAACAGGCAAUUUAGGAGGCUUGAGGAGAGAAAAGGUGUGGAAUAACCACUAUAGAGAGUUUGAAAGAGAGUCAAUGAGGUGAGAAUGAAAGGAUUGCCAUUUCAUAGUAAGGAUUCAGUUAAGUUUAGAUAUAUUUAUAGUGUAUGCACUGUGCACAACUAUGUGACUAUCUCCACUAAGAUUAGGAGUAUUGAAAAAUAAUGGGAAUGCCUCAAUCAAGGAUGAGGUUUAUCAAUACAUGAGCAGUAGUAGGACAAGGUGGCAGAGAAUUCAAAGGGAGAAGAUAGUCUAUAUCUGUACUGGUUAAUUAUAGCCUCGAUAUUGCAAAAAGGGAGGACAAAGAGAAGUGAUGGAGUUACUAGAAUUUGUUGUAAGAAUGACAAAAGAUGAUGUGAAGAAAGAAAUACUCAUCUCUUAAGUUGUUUCUGUUUUCUCUGCCAAGAGAAAUAAUCUUCACAGUGUGAUGAAUGGAACAAAAAUCAGUCUAAAGGACUAAAACCAAGGAUUAGUGAAGAGUUGAUAAAAAGCCACCUACCUACCCUCAAUGAGUUCCAGUUAGCAGGACCACAUGAACUGCAUCUCAAGAUACUGAAAGAACUAGAAGAUAUUAUUGCUGAGUGAUCUCUGAAAGACUGUGGGGAAUGGAAGAUGUGCUUAAACACUAGAGAUAAUUUUUUAAAAACCUUACCUUCCAUCUUGGAAUCAAUACUGUAUAUUGGUUCCAAGGCAGAAGAGUGAUAAGGGCUAGACAAUGGAGGUGAAGUGACUUGUCCAGGGUCACACAGUUAGGAAGGUCUGAGGCCAGAUUUGAACCCAGGACCUCCUUUAUCUGGGUCUGACUCUCAAUCCACUGAGACACCCAGAUGCUCCAUAGAAAUAAUUUUCAAAAAAAAGGAAAGGAUGUGGAAUCCACCUUCAAAAAAAGGAAAGAAGCCAGUGAGUUUAAUUUCAAUUCCUAGCAAAACUUCAGAAUAUAUUAUUUAAAGGAUUAUUUUGGAGAGCUUAGGUAGGGAAGUAGUAAUCAUAAAAUAGCCACAUCAAAAGAAGUCAUACUAGAUUAGCAUCAAUUCAUUUUGUUGACAAGGUCACUACAGUGGCAGAUUAGGGGAAUUCUGUAGUCAUUAGUAUACUUAGAUUUCAGCAAAGCCUUUGACAAAGUCAAGCUGUCCUUGUGUACAAAAUGGAAAUAUGUGAACUAGAGGAUAGCAUAGUUAGGUGGAUUUGGAACUGGUUAAAAGACUGAAAUCAGAAAUCCUGUCAACCUGGAAGUCUUGAACCAGGAAUCCUUUCUUGGCCCUGGGGUUAUUUUACACUUCUAAAGCUAUAAAAAACAUGAUUGUUUGAUUUACCAAGGGAAGGAAAACUAACAUGUUGGAUAAUAAUCAAGGCCCCAGUGACAUACUAAUUUAAGAUGGAAAAUGUAAUAGAGAUAAAUAGAAAGUACAAGGGAAACACAGCUACCUAGUUAUUUUAAGGCUAAUGAUAAGGAUUAGAGAGAGAGAGAGAGAGAGAGAGAGAGAGAGAGAGAGAGAGAGAGAGAGAGAGAGAGAGAGAGAAGUAAUAGGGGAAAAAUUUAAAUUUUCUAAGUUCAGGAUUGGAAAGGUAUGACCACACAACAGUUCCUGUGAAUGAAAUGUGGGGAUAUUAAGGGAUUGCAAAGCACAAGAAACAUGUGCUAUGACCACAACCCUUUUUUCUUCUUCUUAGUCCCUUAUCUCUAUUUUUUUAUCUCCACUGUUUACUGGUUGCAAGGCAGGAGAGUGGUAAGGGCUGGGCAAUGGGAGUUAAGUGACUUGUGGGGGUUGGGGGGGGUCACAUAGCUAGGAAUUGUCUGAGGGCAAAUUUGAAUUUAGGACCUCCCUUCUCUAGUAGUAGUCGUCUCUCCUGAGGAUGACGAUUGUCUUUGUGCAUUUUCAUCUAUGGUGUAUAGAUGAGUAUGCACAGACACUUGUGCGUGAAGGAGAUUUAAGUGGAAAAGUCAAUGCACAGAGGCAGUCCCACUCUCUCAGCGUUGGAAGCCUGGGUCCAGUGGCACGAAAAGUCGUUACACCUGGAGACUUCCUCAGCUGCACUGGAUGGCCCUGUUGUCUUUUGUGCUCCAACAUGCCCUAAGCACUCCACAGUGCUUUGCUGCAUCGCCCUCUCAGCCGUUGACCUGGCUCUCAAUCCACUGAGUCACCUAGAUGCUUCUACCAUGGCAGUAAUCUAAUAUGAUUGUAAGGUACAUUAAAAUAAGUUUUGGGGGGCAGUUAGGUGACUCAGUGAAUUGAGAGCCAGGCCUAGAGAUAGGAGGUCCUUGGUUCAAAUUUGGCCUCAGAUACUUCCCAGCUGUGUGACCCAGGGCAAGUCACUUAAUCCCCAUUGACUAGUCUUUACCAAUAUUCUGCCUUAGACCCAAUACACAGUAUUAAUUCUAAGAUGGAAGGUGAGGGUUUUUUUAAAAGACUUUUUUACAUUAAGUAAUGCCAGUGAUAGUCUGAUAGUAUGUGAGACUGUGAUAGUCCCCUGUACUCUGACCCAGUGAGACAGUAUAGUAUACUACACUCAGUUCUGGGCUCUCCAUUUUAGGAAGGCCAUUGCCCAGAGAAGGGCAAUCAGAAUGAUAAGGAUCUAGAGAUGGUGCCAGAUAAAUCUCAUCCACAAGAGUUGAGAUAUUAAACCUAGAAAAGAGAAGACUCAGAGGGGAUAUAAUCAUUGUCUUCAAGUAUGGAAGAGCUGUUAUGGAGAAGAGGGAUUAGACUGGUUUCCUUUCUUUCCAGAGGGCAGAAUUAGGAGAGUAGGAAUAAGGUAGAUGCUUUAAAGAAACAGAACCCAAUUUGAUUUGAAAUGAGACUUUCUAACAAGUGGAAUUGCUCUCAAGUGGAAUAAGUUACUUCUCUACUUUGAAUAUCUUCAAGCAAAUACUGGGUGACCAUUUUUGAAUAUAGUAUUUCUAUUUAAAGGCAGGUUAGACUAGAUGGCCUCUGAGGUCCUUUUCUGCUCUAAGACUGUGUGAUUUCAAAUUUAAUACUCAUUAUUUAAUCCUUCUGGAAAAGGGGAUUAAGAAUACCUACCAGCAAAUUUUUUCCAUCUCUUCUUCCCAUUCCCUGGUCUCCUCACUCAAUCAUGAAGAUUAGGUCUUUAUCUGGUAUGUGUAUGCAAGAAUAUCAAUCUAUGAAAAUAUUUUUGAAAGGGGAAGUGCUGAGCUGUAAUAUUAAAAAGUAAAGGGGUCAGUAAGGUAGCUCAGUAGAUUGAGAACCAGGCCUAGAGAUGGGAAGUACUGGAUUCAAAUUUGGCCCCAGAUACUUCCCAAUUGUGUGAUCCUGGGCAAGGCACAACUUCCAUUUCCUAGCCCUCACUGCUCUUCUACCUUGGAACUCAAUACAUAGUAUUGAUUCUAAGGCUAAAGGUAGAGGUUUUUUUUUCUUUUUUUUUUGAAGUAAGUAAUGCCAGUGGCAUUUGGUGCAAUUGAUUGCUUCUUUUUUUCAUUGUGUGUUCUAUCUAUCUCCUUCUCUUCAGGAAAGGAGGAAGUGAAAGCAAUGAAAUUUCCCCCUCCCUUAGGAUCCUGACUUUUCCUGACCUCUUUCCCUUCUUCUUAUCAUGAGAGUAGAAUGAUAAACUUUCAUAGAGUAAACUAUAUUGAACCAUGACAUAGCAGACCCAUGGAUUCAGUUUAUGAAUUCCCAUUCAUUGUAGAAAGGGGUAAUACUGUCACCUGCCCUAAAGAAUCCAGGAGAAAACCUGUGCUUUCAUGUCCUCUGGGGGAUCCCUAUUCUUCUUCAUCUCCAAUCUCUUAUAACUCAGCAGUGAAGGGAGACAAAGGGAUCCAGACUUAAAAUCAAGAGCAAAGUUGUAGUAAAAAGAGUUGUGUACUAAGAAUCAGUUCCUGGUCUCAGUUCUGCCAUUACCUGUCUGCUUUUGGACAAAACACUUCCCAUCUCUAGUCUCAGUUUCUUUCAUUUUCAAAAUGGGGAGAUCUAGAUGGGACUAGAUGAUUUCUGAAGUCUUUUUCAGAUAUCAUUUUAUGAUCCUAAGGGCACAGAAAUCAGAUGUUGGAAGAAGGGAAAUUAGAAGAAAUUGUAUUGAAGAUUGAAUCUUCCAUUAAAAAAGAAAAAAGGAGAAUUAAAAAAAAAAACUACUACCCUUCCCAAAUAGUCUUUUCUCGCUCACUUAUAUGUGUUUUUAUACAUGUCCCUAUGUGCAUAGAGAUAUGAUUUUAUCAGUGGAAACAUUUAAAAAGAUGCACUGCCAUCUGCUUGGCCACUGUACCCAAAGGAAGAUAGGCUUUUUCACUUGUAGCCGAAACCUCUUGCAUUCAUUUGUUUCUCCCACAGCAACUUUGUAUCCACAGCACUUAGUAGAGAGUUUUGUACAUAGUAGGAGCUUAAUAAAAAUGUUUUCUUUCAUUCAUUCAAUUCAUUCACACAAAAUCCACAGAGGUGGCUCUGUGCUAUCCCAUAAAGCAUAGGGUUAUUGGACACAGUUGCUAUAAUUGGGAAGUUUAUAUCCAAACUGGGAGGAUGGGGCAAGCAUACAUAAUAAGAAACAAUGACAACAAUUGCCACAACAACAAGAAGCUAAAAAUAAAAACUCCACUUCUAAAGUUGGUUUCAAAGAUAGAAAUGAAGGGAGAGAGAGACAGACAGAGAGUGAGAGAUAGAGUCAGAGAGAGACAGAGACAGGGAGAGAGAGAGUGUAUGUGUGUGUGCAUGCACGCAUGCGCAUCUAAAGGAGUGAGGUGGGUCUUCCCCAGAGAAGCCUUCUACUCUACCUCUCAGCAGUGCUGAUAAAACAGAAACCUAAUCAGGGAGCCAGCUCCAUCACCUUGGGAAGGGGCAAGCAGGCUAGCAGCCUAUUAGGCUCACUUCCCCAGAGCUGUUUCAGAGCUGGAGAAACACUUCAGUGAUAAGUGAAAGUGUCUGGCUCAGGCCCCUGGGGAUUUUCUGCUAUCCGGAGAAUGAGUAGAUAAAGCUUGGUAUUAGCGAACACUGAUGCUCUCCAGGCAGGGGAGAAAAAAAAAUACAAGAGAGAUACUCACUGAGACACAGAGGAGGGGACCCUGGGCCCUCUUCCCAGCCCUGGUGGUUAUCACAAAUGACACAUCGGGCACAAUGAAGCAAGACUGCCAGAGGCUUGUACAACUGGGCUUCCAAUCUCUAUUUUCCCUAACCAACCCCAACUCUACAGAAAAGAGAGAUUUCUGAAGGUAAAUACUGGUGUGUAGAACCACUUACAUUGAAUAUGCACACAGACACAUUACAUCUUUUGCCCAUAAUUUUAUAUGAUAAUAAUGUUGUUGAGUCAUGUCUGACUCUUUGUAAUCUCAUUUGGAGUUUUCUUAGUAAAGAUACUGGAGUGGUUUGCCAUUUUGGUUCUCUAGCUCAUUUUACAAAUGAGGAAAUUGAGGCAAAUGGGCUCAAGUGACUUGCCUAGGUUAAGAUGAGUCUUCUUGACUGUAGGCCUUGUGCUUUAUCUACUGCAUCACCUAACUGCCCUCUAUAUGAUAAUAGCUAACAUUUAUAUGACACUUUAAAGUAUUAAAAGCAUAUUAUAAACAUCCUCAUUUGAUUUUAACAGUCCUGUGAGGUAGAUGCUAUUAAAGAUAAGGAAACUGAGGUUAAAACUUCACCAUAAGGGUAGCUAGAUGGCUCAGUGGAUAGAGUGCCAGGCCUAGAGAAGUGAGGUCUUGAGUUCAAUUUUGAUCUCAGACAUGUCCUAGCUGUGUGAUCCUAGACAAGUCACUUAACUCUAGCUGCUUAGUACCUGCUGCUCUUCUGUCUUGGAACCAAUGUUCUGUUUUGAUUCUAAGGCAUGUUUUAAAAACUUUACUAUAACCACAAAGCUAAUAAAUAUUGGAGGCAGGAUUUAAACUGAGGAUUCUAAGUACAAGUACAGUAUUUUUUCUUUUAUGCCUUCCUGCCUCUAUGCGGUAUGAGAUCACCUUGGCAAUGCUGUCAGUUCCCCAGCUUCUACCACUUGGAUACUUUCAGGGUUUUUGGGAUCAGUGGCUAUCUUGACUUUCCCUCUUCUUUUACACUGGAACAUAAACCUAGAUUUCCUGUGUAUGUACUUUCCAGAAUCAGGCCCAGAUAAAUAUCAGACUGCUCCUUCAAUGGGAUUUUUAGUUUGAGAGAUACCUGAAGGGCACCUAAUCAAGUCAGAUGGAAUACCUAAAAAGGCAAUACUAGUAUAAGACAUGUGAGGGAAAACAUAGGAAGUACCUUUUCUUCAUGCUAGCUACAAAAUUGACCUGGGCAUGUCUCAGACCUGCUAUCCAGACACAUACAAUGUCUGGAAGUUGGCUAAUGUGCCAGCUCAGUUUCUAUAUGUUCCAUCCCCAAGUCUUAUUCUAGAGCUACCUUCAGGCUAUGUUCUAUCUAACCCAAUUGCUUGAGUAUGCAGCUGCUUACCACACUUUAACUUGCCCUAGAACCAAAUACCCUUCUAGAAUGUUUCCUCAUCUGUAAAAUGAGGGAAUUCGAUUAGAAUUAGAUCCCUAAAGUGUCUUGCAGUUCUAAAUUAUUACCUUUUGACAUUAAGAACAGACUGAUCAAUUAGCCUAGCAGCCUUCCUCUCUCAAAUACACUCCUGGGAGUUAUCUUUCCCCACCAAAAAACAAACACAGUCCAACUUCAUCACUUCUCUCUUGGCUAUUCCCUCCUUCCUGCCUAAGAAAGAGAUGAUCUAAAAGAUGUUGGGAGAAGUGGAAAAAGUUCAGUCUCCGAAGUUACAACUGUCAGGAAUAAGCUGAGCUGUAAGGGGAAAAAAUCACCCCAAGGACGUGCCUUUUUGAGACAAAGAUGAUGAGAAAUUUCCAGUACAAAACAAAUCAGAAAAAAUUCCCCAUCAUGUCCCUCCACCCUCAUUGCCCCUGCUGAGAACUGGGCGGUAGGGAAGAAGGCCAAACCUCAGGAUAAUGUUCAUUUUCCCUUGUAACCUCUGGUCCAAUUAAAAGGGUUGCACAUUUCCAGUUUUACCUCGCAGAACCAAAUAUAAUGGAGCAUUGGAAUGGAAUUGAAUUUCCCUUUAAUUACCAUGGCUCAGAGAUAUUGUUUAAUUUGUAAUUGGUGAGUUAAUUUAGUUUUUCCCUUUCGCAAUCAUGAUGCCCUGUGCACACACAUGUCCUUGCACACAGAAAAGAGGGAGGAGUGGAUAAGCCCACAUUCCUGAGGACACAUUACUGUCCAGAUACACGCACUACAGAGUCAAAAAGAAUGCUUGCUUUGCCCUUUGUUACAAUAAUUCCUCACUAUAUCCAACCACAAUCAUAUACUCUUACAUGCCAUUUCAUGUCAUAAUAUUCACACAUGCAUGAGCCACCCCCAACAUGCAAAUGGGAGCAUUUUUUCUUCUAAUUACAUAUUCAGCACUUCUGAGAAAAUGAGAUUUUAGUAAUUCAAUUGGACUGAGAAGCAGGGCUAUAAUAAAAUGAAAUUUGUAACAAUCGGGCAGUUAAAUUAGUUAAAUGGAGAGGAAGGAGCUGUGGAAAAUUGACCCCUUGAUCUCGUAAGGACUAAUCAGACAUUUGAACUGAAUUGUGCUAACAAAGCCUUUAGGGUGUUUCAGAGGAGAAAACAACUGGAACUAGUGAGAAGGAAGAAGAAUAUGAGUAAAAUUAGGAAGGUGAGGACAUAGCUGUAAAGAGUCUUUUGUCAUUGCUGAUAUAAGUAGACACAGAAAUGAUUUUCUUAGGGAACCUUGACUAUUUACUCUAAGGAUUUGGUGGUUCCCAAACUAUAUUUCUCUGGGUGAGGGAGGCAUCAUAAAAAUAGUUGCUAGCAUGUUAAGACUUGGAAUCAGAAAUUCACCGGUUCACAUCACAGUUUGAGAAUUAUGAGCUGUGUAUCACAAAAGGAAAGUUACUUUUCUGAGGAUUUUUCUUGAUCUGGAAGUGGGGCAAUAAUAUUCAUGCCACUUACCUCACAGUUUUAAGGCUUAAAUGAGAUGUAGUAAAGUUCUGAGGUCUACUAUCUCAAACCUCCAUUCAUAUUGGCAGGCCAGGUCUCCAGAGGCUAGUUUGUUAUUUCUCCCAUCAGGGUCCCAGGUGAAACUGAGGGAAUGGAGGGUGAUUUCUCUAGUACUCUAACUCACAAGCCUCCAUCAGUAUAUGCGCCUCCAUUGAUCAUCAACUGAUGUCAGUUAGUCAGGCAGACUUAAUUACCUUUUGUAAAAAGAGUUGGUAUAAAACAUUCCCCAACACAAGUCGUACAUACUCCCACAAUUACAAAGUCCAGGAAAAAGUAGGUCAUGCUUAGAAAGUAUAUCUAGCAAAGAGAUAACUCAACAGUUUCUAGUUGUGAAAAGUCACUUUUCUCUGCUUAAUAGUCUUUUCAUGAAUGUAUAGCCACUGUCAGAUGGACUUAUUAUAAAAUCCUAAAGCUGUUUUUCCUUAGGGUGCUUAUUUUGUCUUCAAUGUUUUUCUCAGUUGCCAAUGGCAGCCAUUGCUAUUCUAAGAACAUACAUAAUCUUGGAUGGGAAAUCCCAAAUUCUCUGACCUUUUGAAGUUUGCAAGGUCUUUCUCUUAUCAAUGUAUGACUGGAGGGAAGAGAGUCUCUCAUCUUUCCUCCCUCCCAAGUAAUUCUCUCUCUGAUGCUUAGUCCCCACCACUUCCAUUAGUAAGCUGACUCACCAUUGAAAUACCAAUUCCAUGCUAGUUUUCUGUUUUUGUCCAAGCCCUACCAGGAGUGAUGACUUCCUCAACCAAGUUCAGUAUGUUUUUGGUGUAGUGUCAUUUUAUCAUAUCCAAUGGUUAAAAGCAUUUUCUCCUUCUGAACUGACAAAAGACUUAUUGCAUCUAGUUUUUAAGGCCUUUGGAUAAUUGAUUAUGUGUUCUCAUCUAAUAAAAGAGAUUCAGAAAGCAUAGCAUUUUAUAAGUUAUUUUAAGAGGGAUGGCACAUUUGAUUCAAUUGAUCCCCUUCCAUCCUUUCAGAGGUUAUGUAUGAAAGCAUUUUGGAAAAUUUAAAGCUGCAAUAUAAAUACCAGUUAUUAUUGUUAUAAACUCCUACCAGGACAAACCAGCACAAAAACUACAAACUAGAAGAAAAGAGAAGGAAAGUGAAGCAUGUCUAGGAAAAUACAAAUGCAAAAUAAGUAUCAUCUGCCAGCAUAGGUGUUUUCAUUGAACACUGUGACAGAGGCUGGCACAUAAAAAUAGUGCCAGGCUGAAGAAUGUGUGAAGAACUGAUCUCCUCAUCAGGAGAGAUUGGAAUCUUGAGGGGUAGAAGAUUCUGGCUGGAAGAGCACCAAAGAGAGAAGGUUGAAUAAGACUUUCUCCUGAGGUUACCCACUUUUUCCUGCUUGUGACUGGAAAUCCUUCCCCCCAACAUUUCCCAAUGAAAAAGACUAUUGAAGGAAAAAUCUGAGAAAGGCAUUUUGAAUCUCUGUCAAACUUUACCUCAACUUCUGUUGCCCUCAGUCUGAACUGUGGCCAUAGGGCCAAACCCAGGGUCAGCCAACCUGACUAUCUCUCAAGGGGCGCAGGCUGCCAAAGCCUGAGUUCCCCCCAAACUUGAGGAGGGAAGGGAAAGGGUUUCAUAUAGAGAUAGGGACUCCCUUUUCCCCACUUUCCUUUCCCAUUCUUUCCCUGCCUUUUGUAUUACCCUGAUUUAAUUGACAUUAAAGUAGUUAUUUUUUCCCUAAGCUGUGAAUGAAGUGUGAGUGAAUAGAUCAAGGGGAGAGACAUCUUCCUAGGAAGAAACCCUUUAGUCUCGAGUAGUGGAGAGGGGACAAGAGGACAAGAGCAAAUCUGGGAGCAGAGCCAUAGUUAAGGAGGAAAGACAGAAGGAGGAAUAUCUUCAAACCCCCUCUCCUCUCUCUGAGCCAACCCUAAACAUCUGCUUUGAGAAGGGAGGUCUCCUCUCUUUUCCUCUCUCUAUCCUGAAAGACCAAACCAACUCUCUCAUUUCAAUACAACACUUAACGGAAAUUUGUUCAACCUCUACUAUGUGUAAAGAAGGCACUGUGUUAAAUGCUAGGUAUAUAAAGAUGAAAAAAUACCACAGCCCCUGUUUUCAAGGAGCUUAUAUUCUAAUAAUGUUUCCAUAAGUGAAAGGACAAUGGGCAGUGAGCCAGAAUUCUUGGUUUUAGAGGAGAGAAUGAGGACAAAACUGAAGGAAAAGUUGGGGCAGAACUUUUGAAAUCAAGGGUUUAAAGACACUAAAAAUGCCUUUGACAAUAGAGCGGGUAGAGGUAACAGGCUAGAGGUAACCAAGAGAGAUUUCACUACAUUAGUGAGAUAUUUUUCCUACUAUUUUAUUUGCUUAUUAUUUUACAUUAGGAUUUCAGAAAUUAUAAUAUGGUGACCUUUUCUGAAUCUAAAUCUGAAUCUAAAUGCACUGUUGGGCAUCUAGAACCUUUCUUAAAUUCUCUUCUGAGAGAGCAGAAGUAAACAUGUUACUGUGGUUGGACUCAGAAAUGAAUAUUUAUUUUUCUAGGGGCAAAACCUGGAAGAUCCAGAUCUAGCCUUUACUGUUGUGAAUGAAAUAAACUGGCAGUGAUGGAAUCAUUGAAGGAAAAUGGCAGAUGAAGAACUGUAGCCUUUUCUGGAUAGGUAGAAAAUGGGCAAAAAAAGCUCAACUUUUCCUCCUUUAGUGAAUUUAGGAGAAUUGAAAAGGGUUGCCUUUGCAGGCCUUGAAAUUCCUGUUAGGCUGGAUAGUGUAAUGGAAAGUAUAUUGAAUUUGGAGUCAGAGGCUUGAAUUUGAAAACUAAUUCUGUUGCUUAUACUUCUAUAUGACUAUUACCUCUCUACAUCUUAGUUUCUUCAUAUAUAAAAUGAGAGGAUUGAAUUAAAUAACCUGUAUGAUUCUUCCCAGCUAUAAAUCUAUCAUCACAAUUUGAGGAGGACUUGGUGCUCCACUGGAAACUUGGAAUUUGGUCAUAUGGAGGAUAUCCUUGUAAAGGAAUGAGUUGUCUUUUUUUGAAUUUUGUGAUGAUCUGUGUUGGGAUAGUACUGAGGCUUGGAUAAUUUAAUUAUUAUGGGAAGUCAUAUGGCAGAAUGGAAAGAGCAUUGGGCUUGGACUAAGAAAUAUUUGGGUUUAAGUCAUACCUCUGUUAUCUGUGUAAUCUUAGGCCAAUCAUGCAGCUUCUCUUAGUCUCAGUUUCAUCAUCUACAAAAUGGGGAUAAUAUUGUCCCAUUUACCUCACAGGAAUAUUAUAAAAAAUAGAUAAGGGGUAGAAAAUGCUAUGUAAACACAUACAUGUAUGUUAAUGUAUAUGUCAAUAGGUAUGUAUAUAAUUAGAAUUCUAAAUGACAUGCAUGUGUAGCAUGUGGUUGGGUCUAGCCAAAUAUCCCUUUGACCCUUCUGAAAUGGUUGAGGAUGUGGUUCAGAUUUUAAAAACACAUUAGUGGUAAAAAACUAGAGAACUAGAACCUAGGUGGAAUCCAUGAUACUAAGUACUAGGAAGAAGAUUAGGAUAAUAGUAAUGCAAAUUACUUCUCCUAUUCUAGAGAACAUGACUGACAAUAUGAGGUAGGACCAUGGGAAAGUAUACAGAAGUUAGUGUUGUACUAUCUUGGUCAUUCUAUCUCCAGGCAUUGCUAAGAAGAUCAAGACAGUAGUGACGGCUAUCUGCUGGUUAUAGAAAAAAAUUUCUCUUGGCCUCUUCACUAGUUUUACCCUGACUUUAGGAAUGAAAGAUGGUGAUGAUUAUUACUUCUAAGUUCAAUGCUCCUGAUUUUUUGUACUUGUGAGAAGGAAACUAAGAAGCAAAGAGCAAUACAAAAAUGGACAGAGGAACAGCAACAGAAUCCUGGCUACCAUGGAAGCAGGUGAGAAAUUGUAGCCAUUAAGAUGCCAGCACUGGACUCCAGAUCCUGUGAACUUGCCUUGCUGAAUUCUGUUUAGGCUGUUGACAUGUCAGUGAUGUCUCAGUCCUUAUCCAUUUCCCCUUUCUGUCUUCUCAAGGUGUAAGCCUGAUGUUUCCUCUAGCCCCUUCCCUAUUUUGUUAUUUCUUAAAAAUUAGUUUACCUUUUCAUGUUUAAAUAUUUACUUUGACUUUUAAACCAUCAAAAUGUAGAAAAUCCAAAUUGCUAAAUUGUAUGUAUUAUGAUAAGAAUACAUCUUGGAGAGGAGUCAUUGUAAAAAAGGAAAUUUAAAACUGGUAUUUUGCUAGAAAGACUUCCCUGAUGGGGUACUCAGAGUUAGUAAAGUUAUUAAUUCAUGUUUACAACUUCCCAGGGCAGAGAAUAUAUAACUGGCUGGGCUGGGAUUGAAGGCAUCUGCCUUCUCCAUCCAUCCCCAUUCCCCAUCCUACCUCCCACAGGCCUACUUUGAACAGAAAAUCACUUCUCUAAAGGGAGAAGGAAUUGCUAGAGAGAAAAAUCAUAUCCCAAAAGCGGAAGAAUAGCUCAGCCCACAAAAAGUUAGAGUGUAAAGUGUCUGUUGACCUUGACCAGCUGUUCAUUAAUUUAGCAUAUAGCAACCAUUACUUUAACAUAGGGAUAUAUUUGUAAAAUCUGGAAGAGCUGUUCACAUAUGCAAUGGAGAUUUGAUUUGGCUAGCUUUUAGAAUAUACUUGCAAAGUGGUUAGGUGACUAAGUGGACAGAGAGGCCUAGAGAUGGGAGGACUUGGGUUUAAAUCUGGUCUCUGAUACUUGCUGGCUGUCUGACCUUCGGCAAGUCACUUAACCCCAACUGCCUAGUGCUUAUUGCUCUUCUGCCUUGGAACCGAUACUUACUUUUGAUUGCAAGAUGGAAGAUAUGGGUUUAAAAAAGAAAAAAAAGAAUAUACAUGCUCAAUAUCCAUAUAUAUAUAUAAAUGUAAAUAUAUAUAUAUAUAUAUAUAUUAAUUUGUGUAAUUAGGAUUUUGCUUCCCAAGGACUCUCUUUUCCAGCAUCCCAGUUACGUAUCUACAUAACAUACUAACAAAGAUAUAAGUUUUGUGCAGCUCCAUCCUCUCUCUCUUCUCCUGGAAACACCACUGUGGAGGUUGGGCAAGAGUUAGGCAGGAGAAUUUUACCCAUGCAUUUUUUACUUAGGCUUUCUAGUUUUGUUUCUUUUAUUUCUUCUACUUCAAGUGAUUAUUAAUAAAUCUUAUAAAAUAUUAUACUUGGAGUUAUUAGAUAUUAAUUUAAAUUUUACACAUUACAUAUUUUCCCUCCAAUCUUCAAUAGGAUGAAGGUGACCCGAGGGUCCCAAGGCUAAUACAACUGGACCCUAAGAUCCGACGAUUCUACAAAAUUGCAAAGGAUGAUGGAUUAAACCAUCAAGUAUCUCUGUUUUUGCACAAAUAAGUUAGGGAAAGGAGCUAGACCUGUGAUUUCAUUGUUAUAUGAAAUUCCCAAGUGAGGAAGUUCCAUCUACCAUUGUAAAUUGUCAUGUUUAGUCUAAGAGAGUUGUCUGUGAGGUAUGGAGGGAUUAAAUGAUUUAUCCCAAGACACACAGUAUAUGCCAAAGGCAGGACUUGAACUCAAUUCUCCUAAUUUGGAGAUUAGCACUUUAGUCACUAUUUUUAGAUUAGCACUUUAGUCACCAUUUUUGCCUUUCUAAAUCUAUACAUAGUAGUCACUUAAUAAGUUUUUGUUGAAUUGUGGUCAUUGCAUUAUCCUGAAUUUGAAAGAGGCUCAUCACCAGAUUUUAGACUAUGGGGUGGCAAAUUUUUAUAGUGUAUUAGGUGUUUGAUCUUCAAGGAUUAUGGUAAUGAGGAAUCAGAUCUGCCACCCUCCUCUCUUGUCUCCCUCCCCCCUUCUCCCUCCCCCUUCAUUUAGUCUCUUCAGUUGGUGAUAACUGGAAGUCAGAUCUGAGUAAGUUUUCUUGAAAUAUCUAAUAGAUAAAUCACUCUUUGAAUGGUUGGAACAAGGGGUUUAUUUAAGGAAACAGGGAGGAAAAGGAAAUUAAAUGGGAGUCAGGGUUUAGGGUUUCCCUGAUCUUAAAAUAAUCCUAAAUUAAAGAAUAAUAUUGUAGAGUCUUAAAUGAGGGAUAUAGCUAAUAGGGGUGAGGAUCUUUGAGUCACUUUCUGAUACAAAGAAAUAAAUUCAGUAAGAAGAGGAUCUUCUCAGUCCUUACUCCUUUCUGUUUUAGGAGAAAGAGACACCUCCAACAGUUUGGAUGUUUUUCUUCAACAGUCUUUUACUGGUCACAUUCUCUUCUGGAAUGCUCUUUGAUUGACAGCUUCUGCAAAUCUUUCAUUCACAAUAGCUAUAGCAACUCAUGAAACUAUCUACUGAAAUAUAGAAAGUUUAUGAUUUAUGUUGGAGGAGGGAGUACUCACCUCAAGAAAAGCACAGAUUCUUGAAAUGUACAUGCACAUGCAUGCAUGCAUACAUACAUAGGUAUAGGCAUGUAUACAUAUAUACAUAGCACAUAUAUACACACAUACAUAUGGAUAUGAAAUUAUAGUUUGACUCAUAAAUAAAAUCCUGUAUAAACUUACUAUAUGAGGAGAAAGAGGAGAUUUGGAAAGUCAGCAGAGGAAGGGACUGGAGGACAGAGAUGGAUGCUGGAAUUUGGGUACACAAAAAGGUGGCAGCAAAUAUUAAAGGGAUCCUAGCUACCAAGAUCUGGCCAAAAAUAAUUGCAGUGGUCUAGGGUAUAUCAAGCUUAUAUUGGUUAGGGAUGUAAGCUAGUAGAUAGAGGUGGAAUAUGGGAAGCAACUUGUAUAAGUUCUCAUUCUUUGGGGGUAGGUCUGGAAAUGACAGGAGGAGGAAGUGUAGUUUAAUGGAAAGAAUGUUGAAUCUCAAGUUGGAGAACCUGGGUUUAGAUCUUUCCUUUCAUACUUAUUACUUUGGUCAAGUCACUUAGGUUGGACCAGAGGACCUCUCAUAAGUUCCUUCUAUCUCUAUGAUCCCUUGAUUGGGAAGCUGACCCAAAGCAAAGUGUCAGGACCCUGCAUUGGAGAUACCAGUGGAAAUUUGCUUACAAUCAAGGAAUUUGGAGUUAUGAGAAUAUGAAAACUUUGCACCUCUCCUUUCCUGCUCUACAGGAGCUACCUAUUAUGUCUCCUGUUGACUGUCCAUGCUAGGACAGGGACAGCCCCAGGGUCUCUGAAGGCCAGGCCAACCAUCAGGUCCCAUCCUGUGGCCCCUGAACUAAUAAGUGAAUACAGACCUUGUUUCCUGCGUUAGCCAGACUCUGGGCAACUCGCUUGGCUGGGAUGGCACAGAAGUAUAAGAGAUACCACCUGGAAGACUGAGGACCCCUGUUCUCCCUAUCCCCACCUCCCCAAUCCAUACCCAUCCCCCACCGGGGAUGAACAGCUGCAGAACAGGUCUUCGUUCAGCUCUUCUGCCUGGCUUUUCCCAGUCCAGGUGCAGUAUGUGUUUCUGGGCCAGAUGGCAUCCAGACAGCCUGAUUGAGCCCUUCCCGCCCCCUGCUUCCUCAGAGCCUUUACAGAAGUCCAACCCUUCUGCUGAGCCACAUAAACAAGCUAGGGAGGAGAGAAGGAAGGCUGGGUGGGGGGAGUAGGAGGAAGAGGAGAGUGGAAUAGGGUAGGGUGGGACUCCCACCUGGUAGCCUGAGCCUGCUGAACUUUCUAAAGAGUCAGCAACAAUGGUGCCAUGCUCUCCCCUGCUGCUUGCAGAAACCCUUCCCUGGGUCCAUCACUGUAGCAGCUUGGAUUGGAACAGAGAGGUAAUCAAUAAGAACUGUGAAGGUGUAGGCGUCAGGGAUUCUUCCAUGUCAGGGGGAAGGCAGGAGUGGGGAGGUUUGAGGUUGGGGUUUAUAUGAGGAGGGGGAAGAGAGCUGACCUAGAAAACUGCUGAAGUCACUUUUGGCCAGUGGGUCUAUUGAUGUGAUCAAGUUAUAGGAGUCACACUGGGCCAACCUCUCCUUUGGGGAGGGAAGGAUGAGGUGUGGGAAGUUGAGAGAAGAAGAAAAAUACAAAGGGGUGGGGCACUGAAUUCGGGAUCAUUGGCCAUUAGUAUUUUUAAUGUUGCUCGUAGGCAGUUGGAGACAGGAAGGGAGAAGAGCAGCAAGGGCAACAGCCCAGGAAAGAGGGGGCUAAGGCUAAGGCUUUAAGGCUAAGGAUUCAUCUCUCACCCUCAAAUGAAAGAAAAGGAAGCAAAGGCAGGUGGGAGGGUCUGAAAUCCCCAGGAGACGGGGAAAAGACUGUUACCUGGAAUGGGAUGUCAGAGUUUUGGGGGAUGAUUGACUUAAAAAUAACAAAAUACCACUCUUCAUAUAUAGGGUAACACUGCUGGCCUAUCUCUUACAGUAAGAUGUGUUUUUGAAAUUAUUUUUCCACUCCUAUUUGCCAGCCUCGGGGAACAGUAGGCUUGGUGGUCACAGAAUAGAGGCUUGUUAGUUUUCCUGUAAAAAUGUCCAGGCAGGGAGCAAACCCACAACUUUGGUCCCAUUAACACUAUUCCUUAAUGAACUAAGCUAAUAAUGAAAUACUUUACAUUUGUAUAAGGCUUUAAUGUUUACAAUGUACUUUCCCCAGAAUAGUAAAGUAGGCUGUUCAAGUAUUAUUUCUCUUGUUUUAUAAAUGAGGGAGCAGAUCACUGAAGGGACUUACCCAGAAACACAUAUCUGGUAAAUGGUGGAGCUGGGAUUUGAAUGACUGUGUCUAAAUGCAAAUUCAAGUUUAGGGCUCUUUCUAAGAUAUUGCCUUGAAGUGAACUGGUUGAUGAGAUGAACUGUUGGUUUGAAGAUGACAUGAAUGGGCAUAGGGAGGCAGGAAGAUGAUUAUAGGUAGAUUGUGGGCAUACUGUAUAGAUCAGAGGUUCUUAAUUUAGGUUCCAUUAACUUUUGGUUCUAUUUAUUUAUUUAAACCCUUAUCUUCUGUCUGAGAAUCAAUACUAAGUAUUGGUUCCAAGGCAGAUGAGUGGUAACAGUUAGGCAAUGGGUGUUAAAUGACUUGCCCAGGGUCACACAGCUAGGAAGUGUCUGAGGCCACAUUUGAACCCAGGAUCUCCUGUCUCCAGGUUUGGAGCCAUCUAGCUGCCCUGGUUCUACUAACUUUCAAAAAAUAUCUUGAUAACUAUCUUAAUGGAAUUAAAAAAAUAUCUGUGUCUUUUACAUUUUAAAAUAUUUUCUGAAAAAGGAGUCCCUGGGCUUCACUAUAGUAUCAAAUGAAUCUACGAAACAAAAAAGGUUAUGGGCCCCUGGCCUAAAUUUUAGGGUCCAGUCUUCUUCUCCCUUUCCUUUCCAUAUACAAACCUAAACAAUACAGCUUCUCUUAGUACUCAGUUUCUAACUUCCAUCUCAAUUUAAUAGAUACCACUGAUCUUCUCUGAACCAGGGUGAAGCAUAAAACCUUACUCUCCCACCUGCCACUCUUUGCUCCUAAUUUCCUAUAACAAACAGACACAGGGUCCAAGGCCUUUCACAUUAAGGGGGAGUCAAGAGGAGGAAAAGAAUGUCCUCAGCAUGAGGGCUUUUUGCUCUCUGAAUGCCUGCCUUAAGGUGCUGUCCUCAUCCUCCCUCCUCUCCCCAAAGGCAGCUCUCACCACCCAAGAUGUACAGGGCCUUUCAAAUAUUUAUCCUGAUUUCAUUUUUGAAAGGGAAAUAACAAGUGAAAGAGAAAGAGAGUGAGAGAGAAGGGAAAAAAAAUCUGAGAUUCUCAUUUGAAAGUUAAUUAGUCUAAUUAGUUCUAAUUAAGAGCUCCCAACACAAUGCAGUUCAUAAAUGAAUUGCCACUAUCUCCUUCUCAUUUCCUCUGGUUCUCAUUUCAGAUUUAAAAUGGGGAGAAGGGAGAGACGGUGGGGAUGCACCAACUGGAGAAACGAUUGGGGGGGCAAGAGAACCUGCCCCAGCUGGAGGCCCAGGUGUCCUUGUGGGGAGCAGGAGCAAAAGGGAACUUCUCAUUUCCCAGGGCUGAGCCCACUGAGGUGGAGCCCGGCUGUCAGCACAUCAGGUAGAGGUUUCUUCACAGGCCAGUGAUCAGCCUACAAAACUGCGUUCCCUGGGCAUGAUAGAAAGAACUUUUAAAUCCAACCCCAUUAAUGCUCCAAUCUCAUUAAAACUCCUUCCUGCUUUAGGGCCCUAACUUUUAGUAACUCUGGGCUUUAUCCAGGAAACUGCAUCCCAGUCCUCCAGCUUCUUCUUGAGGUAGGGGAAAACUACCCAGACCUGGAUCAAAGAUUGCUGGCUAGAGGCCAAGGACGGCCAGGUUAAUGCCCUCCUGCUCUUCUAUCUCUGUUCUUUGAAGUUACAAAUGCUGGACAAAUGAAAGCUAUCUAGGUUAUCAUCAACUCAAGGCUUAGACCCCUAGCUGGGAUGUGUAUCAGGGCUAUACUGAGGGAAUGGGGCAGAGGAGGUGGGAGAAAGGGGAGGGAGAAUAUUGUCUCAUUGGCUUCCUUUUGCAAAAAGAGUAGGUGAUGAGAAAAGAGCAGAGGGGAAGACUUAGCCCUGAGGAUCUUUAAAUGCAUAGCAAGACAUGAGGGACUCCUUCUGCCUCCUACAUCCUGUCCUUUCCUGGGAAGAGAAGGAAAAAUGAUACACACAAUUCAGACUGGCACAGAUUGUCCACACUAGGCAGGUUAGCAGAGGCUGGGUCUUAGUGCUCUUUCUUCCUCUCAAUUAUUGAUGCCACUGGCCAUAACCCCAACAGAAGAUCAGUUUUAAGGCGCUCCUGCCACCACAAGAGCACCAGAGGUCUGCCCUGCCUCCACUACCUCCUUGACUGACUACCAGAAAGUUCAAUGAGUAGAUGACAGCAGAGAUUUGACCAUAGGUCUGUGAGCUUCUUGGCUAGGAGUAGGGACAACAUACUAUGUGACAAAGGGAAGAGAUGGUUCCCCGCCCCCCUACUCAUAUUAAAAGUUGUGGGACAGAAUACAGCCUGGGGAAGUGGUUUCUCUUCUACCUCGCGCUCCCCACUCAAACCUCUUCAGAAAGUUAGUCCCUAGGCUGCAGCCUUCCUUCCUACUGACUGUCACCAAGCCUGUUCUCUCCCUUCCUUGUAGACAUUCUUCUGGUAAAUACAACACAUUAGCUACCUGGGCAGUGCUUUAGUCAAACAAAGUAUACAGUUUUUUCCCUUAGGGGCAGUUAAUCACAUGGCUCUAGUAUCGUUGAUUCUACUAGAGGGGCUGCCUGGGUAGAGAGGCAGCAUUGGAUAUGAUGGAGGACUGUACACAGGAGAUUUAGGAGGAGAAACAGCCCCAGGGAUACUCUCCAGCUUUCAGCUCAGACCUCCCCACUCUUACAAAGGAUGUUCUGAGGAGGGCGACAGGAACGACUGGAAGGGAUGAUUUCUGAACUAAGAUCAAAACAAUUAAAUAGGCUUAGCUCAGAGUCACUAAUGAAGGGGAUCCAAUAACCACCUACAGGUAUGUGAAAGGCAGGAGAAGAUUCAGAGAAGGGAGAUAGGAAAUAUUUAGAGGAUCCCAGGGGGAAGAAAGGAUUGAGAAAGAGACAGAUGCAGGCUGAACAUUUCCUAAAGGCAUGAUAGAUAUAUGAGACUGAGGAACUGUUUCCCCAAGAGACACUUAUGAAAACCCUAGGAUUGGAGCUGUUUAAUGGAGGGUGUGAGAUGUCUUAACCCUUUUAUUGCUGGGACCAUUCCACUGCUAGCUCCCAGCAUCAAGGCAUUGGUAUAGGGAGAGGAAACAAAGAACCCUAGUAAUCACUCAGCUCAAUGCCCACCCUCAAUUAACUUGCCAGAUACUGGCCUGAAAGGUGUCCCACACUAAAUCAUCUAGUCAGACAGUAGGCAGCUAGGCACUGUGGGAGUGAAAGAAUCUGUCCCAGGGAUGAUAAAAACAGCCUUGGACGAGAUGUCAGAAGACCUGUUUCUAGUUCUAUCCCCAUCAUUUUACUAGCUGUGCAGCUUUGGGCUCAGUUUCUUCAUUUGUAAAAGGGCAAUGAUAAUGCAACAAUCUUUGUACAUACCUUAAAGGGUUGUUGUGAAGAUGGAAUGAGAUAAUGUGCUUUAUAACUGUCAAGUCCCUAUGGAAAUGUGAGCUAUUAUCAGAGGCAGACAAAACACUGACUUAAAAGCUCUUACAAAGAAAUAUAAUAACAGCUCAUUUUUAUAUGGCACUUUUCAUGUUUUUUCCAUGGUUGACAAAAUGCUUUCCUUACAGCAACCCCCUUUGAGGUAAGGUAAGUAUUAUGACCUCCAUUUUCCAGGUGAGGAAUCUGAAUCCUAGAGAGCUGACAUGGUUUGCUCAAAGUCUUCAAAUUAGUAAGUGAAGUUGGACCACAAAUCCAAAUUUUCCACUAGUUCAGGGCUAUUCCCACUAUGACUUCCUACCUCUAGACUUAAUAUUGGUAAAAGGCAUAGGGUGAUGAGUUUUCUAUAUUUUUCAUACAUGAGUAGUGACUGCUCAAAUCUAAAAAACAAUUCAAGAAGAAAAGUAAAAUUAAAAUAGUAUAAAUAGGCUGAAAAGGAAGAGACCAGGAGGAAAUUCAUAUGAAAGUUGUUGAAAUUGCCUGGGCUUGCUAGGCUUUCAAUGAGGUCCCUUCCCCACCCCCAUCCCCCCUUUUUUAUGUCUUAUCCCUUUAGUCUCAGGUCCCUAUGCUCUCCCUUAAUAGUUCUCAAACAUGGGAUGGGAAAUGGCCAAAUCCCUCAUCAAGUGGCCCAUUUGAGUCCCUUUGCAUGAAUUUACUCCCUCUUUCAACUCUCUUUUCCCCACCAUAGUCUUGCACUCUUCUUAUACUUAUAAACAUGUAACUUAAAUUCUGAUAAAAUCACAGGGUAUAGCUUUUCAGAGAAAAGGGUUCAAGAUGAGUGGGUAAAGCACUCCUCCAUUUCUUCUGGAUGUCUUCCACCACUGAUUCCUUGGUCGCCCUGCAUUCUCCUCUUUUUUUUUAAAACCCUUACCUUCCAUCUUAGAGUCAAUACUGUAUAUUGAUUCCAAGGCAGAAGACUGGUAAGGACUAGGCAAUGGGGGUUAAAUGACUUGCCUAGGGUCACUAGGGAAUAUCUGCUGAUUUGAAGAGAAAGAGAGCGGAGAAGUGGAAAUCUGCUUGGGGCUGGCAAAAAGGGGCUAGGAAAGGUGUGUAUCAUUUCUGUUCUCCAAAGAGUUAUUCCAAAUAUUAGGUACAGAGGAUGACAAGGACCUCUUUGCAAAGUCAUGCCGCUGUUAAAAGUUUUCACAUUUCACAUAAAAGUUUCACAUCUUAAAUUUCACAUUUAAGAAAUGGGUAAAAGGAAGGGUUUUUGGAAAGGAGAAGGAAGGUUGCCUCUCAGGCUUCAUGAAACUAGAUGUAUAUGGGGGAAAUCCAUGGCCAGAAUUGAGAGCUAGAACCAGAAGGCAGAUUGAGAGGGUAAAUGAAUGAAGGGGCUGUCUAUAAACAUUUUAUUUAUAGGAGCAGCAAAGUCGCUGAGCAGACGGUGAUAGAUUUAGGAGGCACAAACAGCUCAGGACUCUUCAGCCCUUCCAGUAAAUUACUGCCACAAGGAGAACAACUUAUGA